ACCAAAUAUCUAUAGUAGCUUGUAUGUUAGUGAUGGUUUAGCCUUUAGGAACUGCACCUAGAUACCUCAUGGACAUGUAUGCAUACUGCUAUUAUGUGUAGAAAUUAGGGAAGCAUGGAGCGGUUUUUGCCUCUUUGGUGCAUGGAGAUCUAUCCUUUUUUCUGCAUUUUAAGAUGGCUACUAUACUGGUGUUCUUGGAUAGAUACACUUCUUUUCCACUGACACUAAGGGCUUGGAGUCUUGGGACCUUCGAUUCGGGUUUGAUGUUCGAAAUGCGCUGUAUUAUAUGCACCAUAUGUUUGUUUAUCCUCUAAUGCUAUUGGGAUGUGAACUGGAUGGUUCUUUUAGGCCGGCUAAACUUUAGCACCUGUCACAAACAUCCACUAAUUAGGAGUAUUUAACAUAGUCUAAUUAGAAAACUAAUUACAUAGAUGGAGUCUAAUUCGCAAGAUGAAUCUAUUAAGCCUAAUUAGUUCAUGAUCUGACAAUGUGGUGCUACAGUAACCAUUUGCUAAUGAUGGAUUAAUUAGUCUUAAUAUAUUCGUCUCGCAAAUUAGACUCCAUCUAUGCAAUUAGUUUUGUAAUUAGCUCAUGUUUAAUUCUUCUAAUUAGUAUCCGAAUAUCCAAUGUGAUCCAAACACCACUUUAGUUCCGUGGUGUGCUCUCAUGACUACAAGUCAUAUCGAUUCAACUGUUGUUGGACUAGACCUUGAAUUCUUGUAGAACAGAAGGGAAUUCAAUUCUUGGGCUUGUGCUGGACAACAGAACUAGUGAGAAAAUAUCCGAGUUUCCGUGCGGAAAGCCAGGAUGCCGAUUGCCAACCUCAUCCAUGACGGCAACUGAAUCCUGACCAGGAUGAGAAGUCCAUCAUGCCAAUGCUUCCGUGCCUUUUCUCCAGCAAGUGUCGCCACCUCUUAAUCGUCCGCUCUGUUUAUCACUAAUUGCCAGAGGGCAAGUUGCUAAUCCUCUUCCCGAACACGAAACCGAAAGGCGUCACUGUCGCUGCCAGAAAGCUCUUGGAACGGCUUCUAGAAAAGAGGGGAGAGGCCAUGCCGGACCAAACAAUGCGCAAAGUGUUGGUGUUGCAUUAGCUGUCCGGCGAGGGGGAUGGUGACUUGCUCCUACCUCCAUGACUUCAUGCUGCCAUGACGGUUUUAGCUUUUUUUUAAUUUUGUCCCCAUACUUCCGUUAUCCGUUGCGUUCAAACGACAGGAACAGUAGAGUUUUGUUUGCCGCUUCCGUGAAUAUUAGUCAAGGGUGGAAUGGAACAUGUGAGAAAUGAAGGGUGUUUCAAAUUCAAAAACACAUGAAUUUGACUUCUCUUCCGCGGCAGGUUUAGCGUGGCUACGGGGGAAAGAAAUGUUUGGUGCAAAAUCCCCUCGGGCGCAUUAUGAAAACAAAACCAUCGCCGUGCAGUGCAGUUGUUUACCUUAUCCGCUUAUCCAUUGGCCUCGCCGUCGCCUGUUGGGUCCGCGCUGACACCCGCGUCGGAUGGCACGGCGGCAUCAUCGCCGCCGUUUUCUUGUGGCCAGCCUGAAACUACGGAGAGGGAUCGGAGCAGAGGGCGCGCCAUGCCAUUGCCGACUUGCCGACCUUGACGAUGUUUUGUCGUCGUCCCCUCCACUGCGAUCUGAACCUCCGGUGAGCCAUGUGUUUUCUGAUAAGGAGGGAACCAUGCCAAGCGGUGCUGGAACGGAGCGCGGGCACGCGGGCGGUGGUCUUCCCGGAUAAGGUCAUCACACGCUGCCGCCCGUGCGCCCGCCGGCUCCCGCUCCGCGUUGCCUUUUCUGACGCUGACGAGAUGGCCUCUAGACUUGGACCUUGCCGACCAAACUCGUACGAGUACCUUGCAAGCUUGUGGCACGCUUUGGCAGUAAAGGUGCGACGAGGAGGGUGAUUAUCACACUGGGACCGUGCCUUUGCUCCCGUCACCAUCCCCAUGUACGGACCGAGUGGGGCGCUAGACUUUUCAAAGGACGUGCAUUAUUGCUUGCAUCUAUGAUCAGGCUCGGGAUGGCAGGAAUAGCAAGGGCCCGAUUUGCCAUUUCCGUCAAGGCGCGAUGCUCUGCUGGUGCCUGGUGGGUGGUAGCUGCGUGGGUAGGGCCUACGCGCGGAUGCGCCGAUCCCACUCGUUGGGAGAAAGACGACGACGCCAUGAUGGGGUCUACGACCAGUUUUCUACAUGGAUCUCUAAUCUUUGCUUUGUGUGGGGUAAAAGUUGUGUCCUGUUUGCUGCUGCCAGUUAAAGGGACUUGGGGAAUCUACCUCCUAUAGCCAGAAUUUUUCUUCUGCCUCGUAACUUUCUCAUUUGCAUGAUCACUGUGCUGCAUUGUACCGUCCCGUGUCAUCUUGUGCUCAUGUUUUCUGCGUUACCGCGUUAUUGUCUUACUGCUGGCGUAUCGAAACUCGGAGUUUAUCCCGUCAGCUCUAACAGAGUGCAAGUAAGUGGGCAACAGAUUCAAAUGAGAACAAAACAAACCCGAUAAUAAAGAGAAAAUCAGAGAAGAAAUGGGCCGGGAAAAUCAAAUAGAUACAGCCCACCCACGUACACUCAGCCCCGUUUGGUUACAUUUGCUUAUUUUUAGCACCCGUCACAUCGAAUGUUUAGAUACUAAUUAGAAGUAUUAAACGUAGACUAUUUACAAAACCCAUUACAUAAGUAGAGGCUAAACGGCGAGACGAAUCUAUUAAACCUAAUUAGUCCAUAAUUUGAUGUUUAGAUACUAAUUAGAAGUAUUAAACGUAGACUAUUUACAAAACCCAUUACAUAAGUAGAGGCUAAACGGCGAGACGAAUCUAUUAAACCUAAUUAGUCCAUAAUUUGACAAUGUGUUGCUACAAUAAACAUUUGCUAAUGAUAUUAAACCUAAUUAGUCCAUAAUUUGACAAUGUGUUGCUACAAUAAACAUUUGCUAAUGAUGGAUUAAUUAGGCUCGGUAGAUUCGUUUCGCCGUUUAGCCUCCACUUAUGUAAUGAGUUUUGUAAAUAGUCUACGUUUAAUACUCCUAAUUAGUAUCUAAAUAUUCGAUGUGACAUGUGCUAAAAAUAAAUAAAGGAACCAAACGCCCCCUCAGAGAGGAAAAUAACAACCGCACAACCUGCUGCAAGGAGGAUAUCAAAACAAGUCCAACCAACCAUCAGAAACCGAAUGAAAUUAGGUUGUGUUUAGAAAUGAGUGAUAUUUAGAAAUCUCAACUGAGUGAUGAAAUUUCGAAGAUAACAGACGCCCGGGCCGAAAUAUCUGAGGCGAGCGAGCGACAGAAAUAAUUUUUUUAUUGAGCCCAGGCGGGUCGGAGUGGGUUGGAACGGGGUUCGACCCAUUUCAACGUGUGUUUGGUUGGUGGGGAUUGGAUCGGACCCAGUAAAGAAAUAUUCCUUCUAAAUGCGGGUCGAGUGCGUCUCUCCGAAACGAGCAAACGCACUCGAUCCGCACGGACGGUGCAGGGAGGCGACCGGUGGCGCCGUGAAGGAGCUACAGCCGGGCGGCGCCAGGAGGAGGCAGGGUGCCGGGGAGGAGCUGCAGCCUGGCGGCGCGGGAGGAGGCCGUGUGGGGAGGAGGAAGAAGAUAGAAGAGGAAGUGAGGUAAAAAAAGAGAAGGAUGAUAGGUGGAUCCUGCAGCUGACAAAUGGGACCCACAACUAACGGUGUUAAAAGAACAUCCAUCCCAACCCUCUCAACCUAUUCAACCGAAUAAAAGAUUCGGUCUAACCCAUCCUUCUCCUUUCCUCUCAUCUAAACACGAGCUAGGUUCACUCCAACCCACAAAAGAGGUUUGGUUCCAACCCGACCCACGUCGUCCCGAACCAAACGCACGCUAAGUGUGCUAAGUGGAGCCACGAUGGUACACAAUGGUAACCGUGACCCGCUUGCCGCGGCCAGCCACCGCCGUCGCCUGCGCCGCGGCCCCCGUAGUUCCGCCCCAAUCGCGACCUCGAAUCGGCGGCCGGAAUCUCCCGCCCCGCUUGAUUAGUCGAGGAGCAGGCUCGCUCAGGGCACGGGGCCGGUGGAUGCUCCGCCGCCGACGCUCGCGCGGUACCUCUCGCUGGGCUGGACCCGCUCGCCUCCGGGGCACCCCCUGAAGGCCAGAAGCAGCACGUACCGAGAACAGUAGAGCGCUCGCCGCCGACGAGGCGACGAUCAGGUCGACGAGCUCAGGCGGAUCUGCGCCAGCAUCGCGGACUCCACGGGCAAUGCCAGGCACGUAUCAUUCUCGGCUCCCCUGUUGCUAGCUUCUUUCCGUGCCACAUUGCUAACUACUAACUGCUAUGGGAAUGACCCGGGUAGGGAGAAGGUCAGGUCGCUCCGUCGCUGCACGGGGCCAUCCAGAAGCUCGACAUGUACAAGGGCAUUUCCACCGGCAAUCGAUCAGGAUAGGAGCGCAGGACAACUCUGAGGUCAUGAGCAAGCACCUGCGGCGAAUUCGGGUUCAUGCCUCAUCCCUUGGCUCACUCCACUGUUUGUUUCUCCUCAGCCCUUUAUGUGCUUGCUCGAGUUAACAUAAUAAACUUGGUUGUUCUGAGAGCUACUAGGACAAAUUUACAACCUUUACUAGUCUGCAACCAUUGUCACCAGGCCACUGUAUGUAUCAUUACUCUCCUUGGAGUUUCAGGUCCAGCAGCUCACAAAGUUUAAGUCUUGUCACAAACUUUUAAUGUUUUCGCUUUUGAGCAUCAAUCAUUAGUCAGUCUAUGACCCAAACCUAGGUUCCUAAGGGGCUGCUUGGUUCAGGCGCCACAGGCUGUGGCGUGGCUCGCCACGGCCGGUAACCAAGCAGCCCCUAAAUUUGGUAUUGAUCUGAACUCUACAAUUUCUUUUUUAAAAAAUGUUUUAGUCUUUGCUAUCUGAACUUUGAAAUUAGUCAUACUUCUGAUGUUGCUUUUGGCUAGUUACUGGUUUCUGCCUUUCUGGGAUACAGUUUUUCUUUUUAUGAAACGAUUUCUGGGAUACAGCUUGGUUUACUUACCUGCAGAAACAACCUUUUUCUCUCUUAUACCAUUCAAUCUCUGUAGCUAUUGAACUAAUACAGUUAUUUCGUGAUUCAAAUGUAGGAAUUCACAAAAGUGAUAGCCUUUAGCAUUUCUUAUCGUGAAGUAUAAUUCUAUCAGGUUUGUAUAUAGUAUCAAGCAUGUUAAAGAAAACUCUUUGCCUGCAAAAAAGAGUGGGUCCUAUUUGGAAAAAAAUGUGGUGAGGAUUAUUUCUCGGGGAAAGCUCACAGCUCUCUGGUUAUGAUUAACAGGUGAAUGCUCAUAAUCUAGCUGUGCCCUAGACAGAUUCUUAGCUUGUCUGACAGACAUACAAUGCAAAAGACACCUUUGUCAAAUAAUAGAAGGCUUCCUUUAAAGGAAAACCUACUUUAUUUAUAACUAAAAGCUCCAGUUACAUGAUGUUUGAGAAAAAAGGGUUUCAAAUAAGCAAGUACAAGAGGAAAUAAAGUGUCACGUUAGUCAUUGGCUGAUGCUUAGAAUCAAUCUGACAAUUAAAAUUUACAAAAGAAAACUUUCCAAGUUGCUCUUCUUCCGAGAGCCCUUCUUAGCUGCCAUAUGCGGUAGCUUUCCAAUCCCAUAACUGAAGGAGCGGUUCUUGUGUGGUAGUAUCCGAGACCUCCUUACCUUGAUUCUCCCUCUACAUUGCAGUUCAUUUCAGUUUGAUGUCACUUGAUGUCCCAAACCUGGCGAACAAAAAUCACUGAAAAGCAAACCUUUUAGGUUGCCUUCUUCCCAGAGCGCUUCUUGAUUGUGGUGCGGCAUGACUUUCGUAUCUCACAGCUGAAAAUGUGGUUCUUGUAUGGUGGCAUUUGGGACCUUCAUGCUAGGACCUCGAUUCUCCCUCUACAUUCCAUAGUUCCAACUAGGAUAUCCUCAAAUGUUAUAUUGGGAACUUCCUCGUGACCAGAAUUUGUUUGAUACUGAUUAUGGACCACACAAAAUUCAGCAUUGGCCAUUCUCUGAAAAAUCGUCAAAAUUCAGCAUUGGCCAUUCUCUGAAAAAUCGUAGGCUUAUUUUUUUUUUGCAUGAGGGCACAUGGAUGUUCACCAAACAUGGAGGUGUUCCUUUGUAUAUGGAGCCUUGUAAAUUUAAGUGCUCUCGACCAAAAUUGAGCAUUAAGGUUAGAUCUCAAUAAGCCACCAAUUAUGUUUACACCCAUGAACGACCCAUUUAUCUCCAUGCCAAUCUCCAUGGCUAUUGAUGCCAACUUUGGUUGUUCCUCAGGAUCUGUACUGCCAAAUGUGAGCACCUUGAAGAAAUACCAGAAUGCUUCUCUGGUUAGAUGGUUCAAUACAAGAGCUUGUGUGGUACCAAAUUCAAUGAUUUUUCUAGAUUGACAUGUGAUUAUGACUUUGCUACCGCUGGCAAUUCCACCAACAUAAGUUGAAUAUAUGUUUUUCCAUGUAUCCUCGUCGAUAUCCUUUGGCAAUUCAAUGAUAAGUAGCAGCGCUUUAUUUCCAUCAGAGAUGCUUUGAUACUUGCUCACUGCACAGCUAUUCUUGGUAUUAUUUAGCAUUUGCUCUUUCAAAUCAUCUUCCGUGAUCAAAAGAAUUUGAGAAAAUAGAUCACGCACCGUUCAUUGUUGCAGACAUGUGAAACUAGGGUGCUCUUUCCUGCAGCCGAUGGGCCAACUAUUGGUAGGGCGCCCACACUUUGUGCACAAGAAUAUGUUUGCACUGAAAACCUCAUCACCCUUUCCAUCUCCAUUUGACGAGCAAACAUGCACUUGCUUGUCAAGAAAGAGGUGCAUGCUGUAAGGUUACUGGUAUAAUGGAGAAUGGUUCUUCAGAAAUGCAACAAACUCAUUCAUGUCACUGAUGAUGCUAUUUAAAUUUUGAAGAACCUUUUCUAGCUCCUCCUUGCCAUGUGUAUUGUUGGAGGAGAGAAAGAGACGCUUGACGGGGUUGAAUUUAGACAUGGAAAAAGAAUGACUCACUCCAUGAUCAAUUGGCCUCCUUUUCUUCACUACUGUCUUGACUUAUGAAGUUGUCUAAGGUGUAAUAACCCCUGUAAACCUCCUUUCUCAGUAUGUUCAGUUGCUCUACCAUAGCUUGAUUUGUAUGUAAUGUGCCGUCCCUCUGCCUCCUCAAUGAUAACACGGCCACAUCGGAGUAGCCGUUGUAGGCUCUGUAUGCUCUGGUCCUCCAUAGCUUGUGCUGUUGGGCGUCGAGCAUUUGUCAAUCAAGAAAGAUGUAGAUCUGUUGGUAAUCAUUUCCCCGACUGCAUUGAAAGUGGCUUCCAUUGGAAAACUUACUCUCCUAGCUGAUAAAUAGUUGAACCUCUUCUUAGUUAUUACAUCUAUGAGCGUAAAGCACAGCGUGCAUCAUGGAAUACACAAAAAUAUAUAGCACUUACAAAGUACUUCCUGGGAUUCUUAGCAUGGCACGGACAUUGCAUUUGGCUUGAACAAAUAUAUACAUCUCCUGGGAUUUGACACCAUCUUCCUAGAACCACACGCCAAUUAUGGACAAUCAUCGAAGGAACCUAGAACAAAGAUGCAUGGCAAGGCAACAGGCAUAGUUUCCUCCGCAUGCUGCUUGACUAAUUAAUUUGGGCAUGACUCUUUGCUCCUUCAGAAUAUCGCUCUCUUAACAAUGUCAUGGCCUAUUAACUAGUUUCUAACUUAUUCACUAUCUGCUCAGAUGAUGCAAAAUGGAGUUUUUUUUUGUUUGAAUAUAUAAGACCAUUGACCAACACAUGCAGAUUGAUAUGACAGGGAAGAAACAGAGCAGCCUGAGCAUAUAUUCUGCUGAUUUACAACAGCAGAUGGCACCAGGAGCAUGCUGAAGUGUGAAUCGACAGGUUUGCAACUGAACACACGGUACAUUCUGCUCAUAAUUAAGAUACAAGUUGCAAAACUACGCAUGUUUAGGAUUACAUCUUACGGACUAUUAUCUAAUCACACACAUGUAAAGCUCUUUGCUUGGCAUCUACUGGUGGACCCGCUUAAUUGUUCAUGAUCGAUGGUCCGUCUUUGCAGAAGCAGGAAAGCUCAAAUCUUGAUUACCAUUUCAGGCUGCUUGUCAUCGUGCUGACCUCCCGAAGCUCCAUUCCUCCAGGGAGCCGGGUGCUUCUUGCUUCCUUUCUUCGAGUUGUGGUCCUCCUCGUCAUCAGAAUCUGAGUCAGAGUCAGAAUCAGAGUCUGAAUCGGAACCUGAAUCGUCAUCAGAGUCUGAAUCGGAGUCGUUCUUGUCGUCCCGCUUCUUUGGCUCUCCCCAGUCGGAUCCAACCUCCUUGUCUUCCUCGCCAGCGGUGGCCAAGCUUGCCACGUCGCCGGCCGAGGCGGCCCGACGCCCCCCAGCCUUGAUGUCCUCCUCCACCUCCUUGUCACCGUCGUGGUGCACCGGCAGCAGGCUGCGUGUUUCCUCCACGCCGGCGGCGAGGUCAGGCGCCUGCACGGCCGUCCGCGGACCCGUGGUGUCGCCGGCGGCGUAGACGGACACGGCUAGGAGGAGGACGGCGGCCGAGCAGGCGGCGGCGGCGGCGUUGCGGGCCAUCUUUGUUGUGAUCGCACUAUGAGAUCGAGGCGGCGUCAGCUAUGGUAACAAGUGGUAGGUGAGUGGCUCCUGUUCUGUGAGAGCGUCGUGAUGGUAACGCAGAGUGUUGUAUGGGUGGAGGCCGUAUUUGGCCGGGCGUGCGAUGGAGACUGGCGCUACGGGCUGAGUCACGUUAUCUUGUUCCAUCUUUUUUGGUCGAGCGGCUAGUAGUGCGCUCUAGUGCGCCGACCUGAGACUAGAAGCGCGUCAGCGUGUGAUUCGCUGAGAGAGUUCCUUGCCAACCUUUUGAAAAUCCAGUGUCCGACCAAGCGCGACCAGUGAAGACAGCGGAUGUGUGAGUAAAUCAUAAUUUUUCAAAAUGGAAAGUUGUGAAAAAAAGAAAAAAAUCAUUAAAAAAGUUUGGAGGGCUACCGGAUUGGCACACGGGAUCAGUAGCCCCUAUAGCUAUCUGAAUAUAGCAAAAUUCCUUACGUGUCAUUAAAAAACUUAUCAUCCCUUCUGGGUCAUCGUUUCACUAACUAUUUUAGCUCUUUUUUCCUUGCAAUGUUACUUAAACUCAGAAUUAGUCUACGGUAACAUGUUAGUUCUGCUAAAAAAUGGCUUCAAACUUGUAACUUCUUUCUCGACUUUCCUCCCACACAGUCGCACCAGUAGCAUGCCACCGCUAGGACAUCCGAUCUCUCAUCAUCGUGCUCUCUGCCUCUACUCCUCUCAUAGUCUGAUCCAUCCACCCUCUCCUAUGACCUCCUCUCACGUGCCGCGUCUCAUGGUUGGUGGCGCGCUGGCAGUCGCCAUGCUUGGGAGGCGGCCUUUUUUUUAAGGAAUGGGAGGUGGCUUUGGAUUUUUGCUAUGUCUAGAUACAUAACAAAAAUGAUGUAUCUAGAAAAAUUAAAAUGAGUAAUUUGGGACGGAGGGAGUAGCUAAUAUCCUGGUCCAUCUUGGGAGUACAUUCUUGAGUAAAAUGCAUAAUGGGUUUGCAAACUUCUCCUAUUAUGUCAACUAGGUCCUUAAAUUUUAAAAUAUGUUUUUGGGUCCACCCUAGGUCCACGCUAGCAAGCCACAUUGGCGUCAGGAGCUGGACUGUUGUGUUUAGAACUUAGGAGAUACCUUGACACUGUUUAGGGAUAAAAAACACAUUUUAAAGUUCAAGGACAUGAUUGACACAAUGUCUAAAGAUGUAAAGUUAUUUCUAAUUUUAGAUCCAUGGAAGUAUCAGUGUACCUUUAGUUUGUUCAUGUCCAUUCUAAUGGGGUAUUUUUAUAUGGGUGGGUAUUUCUAUAUACCGACAUCUACACCAAUGAUGGGUGAUAACAACUCCCCUCUCGAAUAUGAUAGUUAAAAAGUGAAGGGUUUCGAGUGAGCGAGCUUUCUACAGACACAUCACCUAUUACUAAAGAAAUUACUAGCUAAAAAUAGAAGCACGCAUGUAAGUCGAAGACUUUGAACCCGAUAGGUAGGUUCCAUCGUAAAGAAUCUAACCACCUAUAGUCAGAUUGCAAACUAUAUAUCCUCAUUCCUCAACCGAGUAGUAUAGGAGAACAAAUCGAAAGAAGUGUCAAGAUAAAGGGAGGGGGGUUAACUUUCUCAUCUAUUUUUCUAUAAUUUAAGUAGUUUGAUUCUAGUCUAAUAUCGAACAUUGAUUUGUUAUGUAUUGAUGAUGUCUCGCUUGAUUUCAACUGAUUGUUCAUCAUAAUUACAUUUAUGUUAGUAUUUUUUUUACUUGGUUGCUUGCAUUGACAUAUCUAUCGUUUUUCUUUUGGAGUGAAGAAAUAAUUAAGUAGAAACCCUUAAUUCAAGUAUUAGUCCCAAAAUUGUUAUUAUAUUUUUGUAGGGUUAUUCUAAGAAUCUAAUAGAGGUCACGUGGUCCAAAAUUAAAACCAAAUCAAGGUAGAGGAGUCUAUCCUAAAGGCUAAUUGGAGACUAGAUCGAGGGAAACGAUAACGUGCAACAUGAAGGCACAUGGGCAAGCAAAUAUGUAAAAUAAAUACGCUUAGCAGCCUCUCAGUUCGAUGGCAUCCCAGCCAUUCACAAUGCCACAUGCCUCCGUCCCGUAAAGAGUGUUCAUUUAAGUUUGUCUUAAGUCAAACUGUUUUAAGUUUAACCAAGUUUAUAAUGAAGAGUAUCAAUAUUUAUAACACUCAAUAUGUAUGCUAUAAAAAUAUAUUUCACAACGAAUCUAAUGAAACUUGUUAGACAUCAAAAGUAUUGAUAUAUUUUUAAUAUAAACUUGAUCAAACAUAAGAUAGUUUGACUUAGGACGAACUAAAAGGACACUCUUUGCGGGAUAGAGGGAGUACGUCCUAUGGGAGUGGACCUUACAUUUUGUUUAAUUUAAGAAUAUUAAUUGGCAUAUGAAGAUAAACGAACAUUGCACUUCCACAACAUGUGAUGAUUUCAUGGAAACAUUUAGUUUUACAACGAAUCACAUCAUCGUACUAGGUUGGCUUUCCACAUUUAUAUAAUAAAACAUACUGCUAGAAAAAUUGUGUAAUCAACCAAAAGAAUCAUUUAAUUGUUUACGUCAUUAUUACAUAUGAUAGUGGAUGAAUCAAUAGAUUGGAUCUACGAGUACUUAUUUCUUGAUGAGCUAACUAACUCCUGACAGGUCAAACAGUGUGGGUCCUAACAAAUUAGUUUGACUUGUGGAAAUUGUGAGGUGUAUUUUUUGGCUUGUAGUGAGCUUGGGACUAUAUUCUAUGGUUCCCCGGCGGCCCUGCGGUUUAGUGAACUUUUGUGAUGCACACAUUACUUUUAUAAGAUUGCAUGUGGUUGUGUGCUUCUCGAUCUCAUGUAAAUCUACUGCAUGCAUGUGAUGAAUGCACAAGUUGUGCAAUUGAUGCUCGACCUAGCAGACGAUCACUAGCUCGCUCUUCUUUGGGUACCAUGCAGUAUGAAGCCGCAGCUAUAGGACACUGCGAGGAUUGCACUAGCUCAACCACUUGAUGUUGAUGGUGAUCCUUGAUGAGCGUGAAAUUAGUACGCAGAGGCACAACACGUUAAAUAAUGUACAGUAACCCCCCUAGUUGGCACGUGACAGCACAAAACUCGACAAAGUCAGCUAGAGCUACGUACAUGAUUCCACUAAUCAGUUCCAUGUUGGCAAAUGGAGUACUGCAUGUGUGAUAUACAUUAAUUAAUUAUGCAAUGAACUAGAUCAAUCAUGUUAAUCGGCACCCGAUACAAUGUAGUGCAAUUUAGAGACUACUCCAUCUAUUUAUGUUUAUAAGAUGUACGCACAUAUAUUUUUGACCAAUAAUUUAACCAAUACUUUUUUAUUUUUAUGAUGUAAACUUGAAAUAGUUGGAUUUGCAAUCAAAUGUACUCUCCAAUAAUUAAUUAUAAAUUUAUAACCAUAAAUAAUAUAAUAUAAGAUAAAUUAAUAAUCAAAGUGCGACAGUAACAAACAAGGAACUAUCCAUGCAUCUUGACGUGUUGAUACAUGUGAAUCGAAUGAAGCCUGGGCUGUGAAUGGUCAUAUCGGCUUCGCACAGUGUGCAUGGACAACUUAAAAUAAGGAAAAUAAGGCAUAUACUAUUCUAGAACCUGUCAGUUGCUGGGUUGGAUCUUGUCUGUCUCUCGGCUCCCACGGUCAACGCGUACAUGCACAAUAUUUAGUGUAACACCCUGGAUAUAUUCCUAUACCUAGAGGCUGCUAAACUUCAUUUAAAAACUAUAAUCCAGGGUAUUAUACAAGCAGUAGAUCGUAACACAAUAACACAAGUGUGUAGGGUGGAGCUCCUCUUUUGUUUCAGAUCAAUCCAUACAACGUGCAACUACUCAUCCCGGUUUGGGACAUCAGAACUUUUCAUUCGGUUGUUCCUUUCAUCCAUCAAUAUGCAUGGGCUUAACCCAUGACAGACCAUCCCAUCUAUAUUGGGUUUGUCCAUCCAUCCAGAAGACCCCAGUUUUAUUUGGACAAAGAAAAGGAUCACUGCAGCAUGCACAUGGACAUUAAUUCAGAUUUACUUUAAUCUUAGAUGUGUUGAAGAUAGGAAGGUGGACAUGGAGCAAGGUAAACACUGACAUUAUGGAUCCAACACUAUUCUCGCUGAAGUUAUGACGAAGAAUUCGGGGCAUCAAAGUUGAGGAACCAUGGGAGAUGCUCAAGUAACCAUAGAAAGUUUUAGAUAAAAAGGGUCAGAAGGAAUAUAAUACAUUAUUAUCCAAUCGCUCUUAGCAAUCAUUUGAUAGAUAAGACUGUAAUUAAUGAGCUUUGCACAAGCCACAAGCUAGGGUCACCGGACUAUCACCGCCAGUUCAAUCUCCAGUUAAACCAUUUUUUAUCUGACAGUGAGCACCUAUUUUCCAGUGGAGCGCCAAAUACAGUGGGUGGAGGGUGGCACACACACACCUCCUAUAUUUUAGGUGCUUGAUUUUUAUCGUUUCAGACGACGUAUUCUAAUGUUACAGAUGCUGGUCUUCUUGCAUUGCCAGAUCCAUACCUAUAACAGCCUAUAUAAACCCUCUUACCCCCAACGGAUCACGCCACAGGCCACACAGCUAGCGUCCAGCUUCCAAGUCUCACCAUUUGAGCUUGCUAGCUGCCACGUUGUGUCUCUGCUUUCUAGCUUCCAAUUAAGCCUCACCAUUUGAGCUGGCUAGCUGCCACGUUGUAUCUUUUUUCUCUCUCGAAGUAACCCGGCCACUCGUUCAUUGACAUGGGAAGCCUUGACACCAACCCUACCACUUUCCCUACCGAUGUCGACAGCUUCCAGCCUCUCAACGCCGACGACGUCCGCUCCUACCUCCACACGUCCGUCGACUUCAUCUGCGACUACUACAAGUCCGUCGAGUCCCUGCCCGUGCUCCCCGCCGUCGAGCCCGGCUACCUGCGGCGCCUGCUCCAGCCUGCCCCGCCCACCUCCUCCGCGCCCUUCAACGUCACCAUGAAGGAGCUCCGCGAGGCCGUCGUGCCCGGGAUGACGCACUGGGCCAGCCCCAACUUCUUCGCCUUCUUCCCGUCCACCAACAGCGCCGCCGGCAUCGCCGGGGAGCUCAUCGCCUCCGCGAUGAACACCGUCGGGUUCACCUGGCAGGCGUCGCCGGCGGCCACCGAGAUGGAGGUCCUCGCGCUCGACUGGCUCGCGCAGCUCCUCCGCCUGCCCCCGAGCUUCAUGAACCGCACGGGCGCCGCCGGCCGCGGCACCGGCGGCGGGGUCAUCCUCGGCACCACCAGCGAGGCGAUGCUGGUCACCCUCGUCGCGGCCCGCGACGCGGCGCUGCGCCGGAGCGGGUCGAGCGGCAGCAUGGCCGGGAUCACGCGGCUCACCGUGUACGCCGCCAACCAGACCCACUCCACGUUCUUCAAGGCGUGCCACCUCGCCGGCUUCGACCCCGCCAACGUCCGCUCCAUCCCCACCGGCGAGGAGACCAACUACGCGCUCGACCCAGCGAAGCUGCUCGAGGCCAUGCAGGCCGACAUCGACGCCGGCCUCGUGCCAACCUACGUCUGCUGCACGGUGGGCACCACGUCGUCCAACGCCGUGGACCCCGUGGGCGCCGUCGCCGAAGCCGCCGCCCGGUUCAACGCCUGGGUCCACGUCGACGCGGCGUACGCCGGCAGCGCAUGCAUCUGCCCGGAGUUCCGGCACCACAUCGACGGCGUGGAGCGCGUGGACUCCAUCAGUAUGAGCCCGCACAAGUGGCUGAUGACGUGCCUGGACUGCACCUGCCUCUGGGUGCGCGACACGCACCGGCUCACGGGGUCGCUGGAGACGACGCCGGAGUACCUGAAGAACAGCGCCAGCGACUCCGGCGCCGUCACCGACCUCAAGGACAUGCAGGUGGGCAUCGGCCGCCGCUUCCGGGGGCUUAAGCUCUGGAUGGUCAUGCGGACCUACGGCGCCGCCAAGCUCCAGGAGCACAUCCGCAGUGACGUCGGCAUGGCCAAGAUGUUCGAGGAAUCCGUGCGCGCCGACGAGCGGUUCGAGGUCGUCGUGCCCAGGAACUUCGCGCUCGUGUGCUUCAGGAUCAGGCCCCACGGCGGCGGCGGCGCCAUGACGGAGGAGGACGCCGAGGAGGCCAACCGCGAGCUCAUGGAGCGGCUGAACAAGACCGGGAAGGCGUACCUGGCGCACACGGUGGUCGGCGGCAAGUUCGUGCUGCGGUUCGCGGUGGGGUCGUCGACGCAGGAGGAGAGGCACGUCCGGAGCGCGUGGGAGCUCAUCCAGAAGACCACCACCGAGAUGAUGAAGGGAGAAAUAUAAUGUAGAGAAUAUUUCGGUUAAUUAGUUGCCGUUGUUGUUGUGACGUCCAAUAAGCCAUUCGGUGUUGCUUGGUGAGUGUAAUCUUGUUGCGUUUCCUGUUCUCCACAAAAAUUAAAGCAUGUUUGUUUAUGAAUAUAAUUCUGUCCAAAUGCUGCUAAGUGUCGUCCUGCAUGCAGUACGAUGGUGGUUGGUGGUCAAGCCAUGCAUGGCUGUGUGUCACACGUUACAAGAUCAUGCCCUAGAAACAUGAUCGAUCUAUAUGUUGCUUGAAUUCGUUGGCCUAGUUUGACAACUUGAGAUUCGUUCUGACAUGCAUGUAACAAAAGACGCAAGUUGGUUGCCAGGUUAAAUUCACGUGCGUUAAGAGAUCCCCAAGAGGAUAAGCAUGCCACACUUGUUAUCAUCUUUCACUAGAACAAAUAGCCAUACUAAUAACUAAUACUAAGACAUGUACGGUUUGAUCCUAGUGGACAGGUGUGUGCCAAAUUAUCAUGUAUACUCCUAUGGUUUUUGUUGAAGGUAUAAUAGAUUGUGAAGCUAAUUAAGAACCGGUUUAAUAAUACAUCAAUUACGAUUUUUUCCGUUUCGCAAAAAAUUACGAUUUUUUCUGGUAAACAACGCCUAUAUACCAAUGUUUUAAAGUUCCCUCUAGCCCCGCACUAAUGGGAAAGAAAUUUGGUACAGAAAUACAGUGGCUUGGACAGGAUACGAGAGGGGACCAAAUUAGUAAAUUUUUAGCACUUAGGAGUAUGUGGUAGAAUUAAGUGCUCCUUAAGGAAACAUAGAGAAUCAGGGGGUGCCAUGGCCAACUUUGGCCAUGCCUAAGCUCCGUCCCUGCAAAAAUAGUAAAAAGGUUUGGUAAAUACAAUGAGAAAACGGAAGACAAAGGCACAAGUUGCCCCUUUCAACAUGGACAAAUAAAACGAUCUCUGGUUACACUAGAUCUGCUGAAGAUCUGAGUAAUUAUGUUCUGACCAGUACGAAUACAGAGACAAUCAUUAGGCAUGUGGAGUAGGAGGGGAGUGGGGUUCGAACGACUAAUUUCCAAAGAUUUUACAUGUCAUACAUUCUAAUAAUGAGUAUGAUGAUAUUUGCAUCGCAUUGUCCAUCCUAUACAGCUUCAUAAGUCGCCGAAGUAACGAUAUAUACAUGUAUAUAUAGCACCCCAACUUACCUUUACUUUACUAUAUAUAAUAGUUUAAUUUCUUCUCCUCCUCGUCUCCACCUGAUCGAGCCUCCUAAUUCCAGACGGAGGUGGUAAUGGUGGCGGCGAGGCAUUUCCACCCGCUCCUCCUUUCGACCUCCACGCCUCCUUGGUCUCGUCCUCUCCCUUGGGGGUACCUAGAUCUGCUCACUAGUUGGGGCUCGGCUUCGGCGGUGUGGCAGGUCCGCGGAGGCUCAACAUUGCAGCUACUCAUAAGAUCUGGCCAUGUGGGAGUCUGCUUGCCGAUGGGAAACACAUUUGGUCUGCCGCAUGGGUGGAUUUGGUCUUAGACUCUUGGUGGCGAUUAGGGGUGGCGCAGCUUCGGGCACGGCUGUUACUAGCGACCUUCCUUAGUUUUAGGGGUGACCGGUCAGCUGCGGAUGGCCGGGUGCUCAGGACGCAUUUCAUUUCAGUGCAGUAUAAUACAAGAUUAGAAUUAUUGAGCAAAUCUAGGAUGUAUAUAGACACUAUAACUUUGCUUUAGUGCCAAAUUUUGCAAUAUGUGGGAAGGAGCAAUGCUAUUGCUGCUACCUAAGGGUGCAUACGACAUAGGUAACGGGUAAAAAAAUGAUACCCUUUACCUUUAUAAAACUAUAGGUAACUGGCAAUGUUCUACGCCCGUUACCUAUGACUUCGAGCAGACCGCUGGUGACGUCGUCAUUAGUAACAUGCAAUGUUUUCUUGUUUGUCACUGCUAGGUCGUUAUCUUUGAUGGGUUAUUCAUAACGCAUCUCUGGUAACAGACUCAUGAUCCGUUUACCUUUGACUUUCUUCGUCCGUUACAAAUAUGGGGGGUUCAUGUAGUAUAUCUUAUAGUAGGAAACACAAUAAUACAACUGAAACUUAAUUUAUAUAUUUGGUUUGAGAAUUAUAGUUUUUUUUUGUUUCAAACUUUUUUAUACGUGGGAUGAAAUUAUCAAUAAGUUGUCUUUCCUAAAUGCACCAUUCCCUUCCUCCCCCCUCAAGUCUACUGUGUCAGGUGAUUAACUGAGUUGUUUCCUAAAAAAGUGACUAAAUGAGUUAUAGUCACUUAUGCAACUGGGAUCGCGAGAUGGGAACGCAUAUGACAUCAAUAGUAUCAUUCCAUGCAUGUACUAUUACAUGCACGUACGUACGAGCUCUCUCCCUAACUAUAUCGUACGUGAAUAUCUAACUAGACUACUUGUACAUAUACAUAUAGUAAUACAUAACCCGACAUUAGUAGUACCAUGUGUCACUAAUUACCAAGGGGUCCGUAGGUGUGUGCAUCAUCUUUCAAACAAAAAAUCGACAAACGUCCAACUGCCAUCUAUCACUGAUGAUCCCUAACUUUCAAUGAUAGAUGACGUAUCCAUCUAUUAUUAGAUGUCUGAUGAGGAUGGAUCAGUCUCUCGAAGUUAUUCGUACGUAUGGAUAAGUGUACAUACAUAUAUGUGAAUGUCAGCUUAAUUUCUGUACAGUGAAUUAUAAAGAAAAACACGUGGAUACCUCCUAUAUAUACAAAUAUGAAAUAACCAAACUAUCAAAGUCGUUCGUACCACAUUUUCAUUCCUAUUUCUACGCUUGUACGAUACGUACGGUCCCAUACUCCCAUGCUAGUCGCCCCUGUCUCGGUCUUGCUUGCGACGACCUGCUGUUAUCUUCGUUUAUUUUGUACACGUACGCGUCCUGAGGUACCUCUCGACGUGUACGAAUUGAUUCUAGCUUCAUCCCAUAGUGCCCAAAAACUCCUACGGAGCAGGAAAUUGAUGAGUGUUGAAUUUUCAGUCCAUCGUUGCCGGUGAGGUCAGCGAAAAUUAUCGAGCCUCCGCACGGCACAGCUAUUGUGGAGCACACCUUCGUUGUAAGCAUGAUCCUCUUCCUUUAUUCCAUGGCCUUAAACUCCACUGCACCUUGAUCACAUUUUGCAUAUGACGCACUUGCUUGUGCAAGGAGGCUCUCGUCACCGUCGUGAACAGACAGCCUCCAGGGGCAACGAUCGAGGUCACAGAGGGAGACCCGGUGGCCAUUCAUGUCAGCAACAAGUCACAUAACAAUCCAUCGGUAAUCUUGACCAAGCUCCAACGAUAGAGAUUAGAGAGAUGGCCUCACUUAUUUUCAUGGAUAAUACCUUUUCUUUGGUGUUAAUUUUCCGAUUCAGGCACGGAGUGAAGCAGCAGCUGAAUUAAUUGUUGGGGUGACCGGGUGCUGAUGGUCACCCAAUGCCCCAUCCUAGUAGAGACCAAAAGUUCACCUGCCAGUUCAAAGUCCAUUCCUACGAAGUGCCCUGCAGAUGUAGAUUGUCUUUGCCCAUCAUAUUGCAGAAUACAGAGCGUACCGUGGACUCUUGGAGCAGGCUCUGUUUUAGCUGCUAGUAGUGACCUGCUGGAAGGAAAAGUUGUCAUUGAAGACAUCUAACCACCUGCCACUCCAGUAAUCUUAUCAGAAUAUAUAAUCAAGCAUCUUGCAGUACAUCUAAGGUAAAAGUAAAGAAGUGUAGAGGUGAAGCAAAGGAAGUGGUAGGUGAUACAGAAGUUAGGAGGAGCUUGAGGGUUAAAGGCAAAAACCAGCGCUACAAGACAAAUCAGUGCAAAGACAUAACUGCCUACUGCCUAGCCUGUGUUAUCACCAUGUUUUGAUGGUCCUCAUUUUUUACUGUCAUAAACCUCUCUUUGUUUACGUGAAGACUGUGUCUUGGGCCAUACUUUUUUUUAUCUGUUACGAAACUUUCCUUUAUCUGUUACGAAACUUAAGAGUCGUACCCUUUAAACAGCCCUCUACUCCAAAUUUAGAUGGAUAAGUAAAAAAAAUGCAAUCCAUUCUUUUAGGAAGAUCUCCAAAUUCUCCCCUCCACCCUCUAUUCGUGGGGUCUCCAUGGAGUACUAGAGUUGAAGAUAUUAGCCCUUAAAAAAAUACUUUGGGGGCUUUAAUUUGAGGGCUAUUGCUUAAGUUGCUCUAAUACCUUCAGCACGUGGAUGAAUUUAUUCAUAACAGUCCCGAAUUUAAGCGUGCUUUCUAUUCCUCUUUGGGCCUGCUAGAUCUUUCUGUGUUUGAUUGCCCUUUUACACGAACAGCCUCAUAGGUUGCAACGCAAAGUAUACACCUGCUUGGCAUGGUGUAAUUGCUCGCUAUUUAAUAGUUCAUUAUGAAUUUAGUCAUCUCAAAUAGGGCUAGGCAUUAUGACAGAGUUGUACUUCCAUCUAUUUCGAAUAGCAACUUACUUAAUGUUUAAACAAUCUCCCGGAAAAUUAUAUAGGUACAUUAUUAAAAAAUACCUUCAUAUAUAACUCAUAUUUUUUAAUUUGAACACUAGCAAUUUGAAUUAUAUUUUAGAUUUCAUCAAUGCGUGAGACUUUAAUUUCUGGAGUUUGGAGAUGAUAUUCAUCUGGUACAAGAUUAUCGUUGCGGCUACAUGAUGGAAAAUCCACAGGCGGUGGAGGGAGCAACGUGUUCGUCGUCGGUCCAUCUUCUACAAUAAAUACUGCCCGUCAUACCCAUCGACAAGUGGAAUUUAUAGUGGCAAUGUAUGUACCAUACCCUGUACACAAAAUAAAACAAAUCAUUUCGGAUAUUGAUGGCAUAAAUUAAACUAUGACAAAUCAUCAUUAGAUAUUGAUGGCAUAUAUUAAGUGGUAAUUGGAAUUCUUUUUGACUCGCCAAGAAAUAAUCAAAUUAGGUUAUUAAAGCGUUGAUCUAGUGCGCUGAAUUUGAAGCUUCCUAGAAAGACAGUAAUGCAGAAACAAUCCUGUACCAACCUGGAUUGUAGGCGACAAAUCGGAUGGCGACCCACCCAAGAUUUGGGACCACCACCGUGUUCUUGAGCGGCGGAUUCACCAGGUUGUACCUUGCCACAUCCUUUGCCGCAUCAAAGUUGCCGAGCCCUUGCGCGAGCACGAACAUAUCGUGGCCGUGUAGAUGCAUCGGGUUGGAGUCGCCUUGCAGUAUCGCCGUGCCCUGGAACACCAUCUCCACCACAGAGCCAUACUGGAACCACGGCGCCAUUGUUGCCCUGGACGUUGGCUCUAGCAACUUCUCCACUGGUCCUACGAUAAUCAAGGAGCGGUCGGUGUAAUUGAACACUCUUGGUGGCUUUUCGGGAAGCAAUAUCAGCGCGUCCUCGCCGCCGAUGUGGUGGUAGUGCGCCUCUAGUAGUGGUGUCGUCGUGGGGAGGUGGAAGGAGACGUUGUUCAUGGUAGCAACAAGAUCAGUCUCAUUCUCCUUUGUCCUAUUGCAGUAUUGUCCUCGCCGGCAAAUGGUGCCCAAGCCGAGCGUGACGAACAGGUGCUCGUCCACUCGCAGGCUGGUCAGGUUGCUGUGGAAGAAGAACGACAAUACCACGUCGUGCUGAUCAGGCAUCACAGGUGCCACCGGCGCAUCACCGGUUGGACUUGGACCUCCUCCUCCUUCGACGCAGUCCUCCUUGAUCUCAAAGCUUCUUCGCCAUUACUACCUGGGCUGUGGUGGCUCUUGUAUUGCACAAUGCCUCUUGUUGUGGCUUCUGGGGUCUGGGUCUCGGGCAAUUUCGCCUGAUUCGGCAGGGCGACCAUGUAAUACUUGCCGGGAGGCGCGUCGGCGACGACCAGAGCAUCCACGGUCUCGCCAGGCGCGAUCACGAUGAGAUCCGUGGUGUAGGGGCUGACAUAGUUGGCGUCGCAGGCGACCACCGUGAAUCUGUGCCCGGCGAUUUUGAGGAAGUACUCGGAGAAGAGCGCGGCGUUGAUUAUGCGCAGCAAGUAGGUCUUGCCAGGCUCCACAUCCAGCACGUAGCCAUCUUCUGCAACCCCUUCAGAAUCGAAGGCACACCAUUCAACGACAACAUAGAAUAGAAGUAGUACUAUACAAUAUAGUUGAUUACCAGAGCAAUUGAAUAGGUCCCCAAGCUUGCCGUCAAUUGUGGAUGCACUGGGGAAGUAAUCAAAGAAAUUAUCCUUCAUUUUUCUGGCUACCUCUGCAAGGUCCAUCUUCCACCAAUCCCCUGCCAUCAUCAACACCAGUCACAGAAACAGUUCAGCUCAGUACGCCUUGGGGUUGGGGCUAACAAUGCAAUAUGGCUAUCAGCUUCACUCCGUUCCAAGUCUUAUGCUCAUAUCUUAUAUGUGACUAAAUGCUAGCUGAAACGCUCACUAUCUUAUAUAUGCCGGGCAUGCAAAUUUUUUUCUCCAAAUGCUCAUAUCUUAUAUAUGACGAAUAAAGGCUGAAAAAAGUUGAGGAACCUAUAAUGAUGGGGACCUCGCGAUCAGGCUUAGGAAAUGGAUACGAGCUGGCCCCAAGCCUUGGCCGGAUGAUGAGGGCGCCAUGCAGGGUUGCCCGGAGGCAAGAGACGUGAGCAUGCCACCACAGGGUGCCUUCCUGCCCAGCGACGUUGAACCGGUAGGUGAAGUUUUGGUUUGGUAGGAUGGAGCAUUGGGUGACCAUCGGCACCCAUCAGCCCAACAAUUCAGCCGCUGUUUCACUCCGUGCCUGCAACGGAAAACACCAAGGAAAAGGUAUUAUCCAUGAAAAUAAGUGAAAAAAACACCAUCUCUCUAAUCUGUAUAACUUUGGCGCUUGUUCAAAAAGGCUAGAUUACCAAUGGAUUGUUACGUUGUAGGGUGACUUGUUGACGACAUGAAUGACCACUGAAUCUCCCUCUGUGACCUCGCCCUGGGAGCUGCCCGUUCACGACGGUGACGAGAGUUUCCUUGCACAAGUGCGUCAUAUUCAUCUGGCUCACCUAUAUAUACAAGCAUGUGUUCCAAAAAAUCAUGCAUGUGCGUACACAGACGAUACUUAGGACGGAUGUCAGCUAAUACAGUAUGCAAAAUGGGAUCAAGGUGCAAUGGAGUUUAACGCCAUGAAUUGAGGGAGAGAGGAUCGUGCUUACAACGAAGGUGUGCUCCACAAUAGCUGUUGCCGCCGGUAGCGCCAUGGUCGAGAGAAAGAAGACAAUUGCGUUUGCGACCAUGGUGGCUGCCGUGAGCAGGCUCCAGAUCUCCAUUGUUUGCAACUUUGAUGUCUGGUUUAGUUUGCGUUAGAUGUACUUCUAUGUAGCCUACUUGCAUUGGUUUUGCUAACCUCGGUUUUGCAAGACACCUCGAUCAUAAACCAUAAAAUAUAUUCAAAUAAAUAUUUUCUCCCAAGUGGGUCUAGAUCAGACAAAUGGUUAAAAGAGUGCAUGGGAGGUGUUUUCUUUUUGGAGUUUGUGCUCCAUGUUGCCGUGAUCAGGGUCGUAAUCUGGUCGGUUUCUACGCUAAUUAAUUAUGCAAGGGUAAACUAUUUAAGGUCUCAACGCAAGGAUUACUUUGACCUGUUUUGCGUUAAAGUUUAACAGGAUGUUAAAUUUUAACAUCGUUAUGGGUGUUUGGAUGAUCUGUUAAACUUUAACACCAAAUGUUGGAAUUGACAUCAUUACCCCUCAAUUACUCCGAGGUAUUUUACACGACCAUUUAGUUGUCCGCUACCUACCGUAUGGUAUGUAUCUACACCAGCAGCAGACACGGAAGAACGAGGAGAAGAAAGAUCUCUGAAAAGGCCCUCUGUAAAAUCUCCUUGUCUCCUCCCAGCGCGUCCCCGUUCCAUUACAAGAAAAGAUCGUGGCAGGAAGCGAUCCAAUUCUCAAUUAGAGGUCGACAACUUUAGCAUCCUGAGUUCUCGAAUUGAGGGCAACCUGCUGGGAUUCGGAGCAUACGGGGGUCGGCUUUGCGCGAUUUGAGGCGGACAGGGGCACACCUGGUGAGCUCUUGAUCGAAUCGGCGGUGCUUCGUGUUCAAUCCGAGAACCAUUCUGCUCCCUGCGCAUGUGAGCUUCUUGCCUUGUGCAGCCGCGCUCACCUGCAUAGAAGGCGAAUUGGCGGCGGUGCUGCUCUACCUCGACCCGCCGGAGAUCUGCCAGGUCGCCCGCCUCAACCGCGCCUUCCGCGGCGCGGCCUCCGCACGGCCCGGCGCCCCCGCACGGCCAGGCGCCACCGAUGCUGCCGGCCCCGAGCGCUCGCCGCGGCGGAGACGUGGCAUGCGCUCUGCCUCGUCGAGUGGCCGUCGCUGGCCUGCCGGGCCUCCUCGCCGCGCUCCCGCUCCAGAUCCGCGCCGGCGUACCUCUACGGCGACGUGCUCGAAUCCGUGGUGGAGCGGGUGCCCGCACUGAACCUCGCCGCCGCGGCGCGGGUGUCGCUCGGGGCAGCUGCGGGCGUCGCCGUGGUGGCCCCCCGCGUGUGGAGGUCCGCGAGGGCGGCGGGUGGACGGCCUGCGGAGGGCGGUGGAAGCGGGGAUGGCCGGCGGGAGGACGCGACGCGGGAGGGAGAAGAGGGGCAGCGGGGAACAGGGAACAAGUGGGGAGGGGACUAUUUUUUUUAACUGGGAGGGGAUCAUUUUUAAAAUCUUUAGUAAGUUUUAAUAUUUCUUGAGGUGUUUCAACUUUAACAUAUAUGUUUGGAUGGAAAUGUGAUAAAAAGUGUUAAAAGUGAGGUGUUAAACUUUAACACCUCCUAUGCAAACGUGACCUUUGUCUUCUCCAUGCACCAAAUUAUCUACUUUGUCACCUCAUGUUUGUCGGCAAGAGAGUCCAGUUUCUCCGUGCACCAUGCUCAUCUCUCCCCUAUUGGAUGGACCUCCGGCUCUCGGCCGCGGCCGGAACGUGCAGCGCCCGUCACCUGAUGGAAUGACCUCAAUCAUUAAUGAUCCAGCUAGUGAGGCAGCACACUGUGUCGGUCUGCUGCUGCUCUGCAUUCUUCUCAUGCCAGAUACCUUAAUUGUUCUCGUUUACAGUCUUUAUUCAGGAUUACUGUUACAAAGUAGGAGUCCUCAUAUAUAUAGUUCAAUAGCUCAUGGAUUGGAGGUUUCUUUCUUAUAGUUUUUGUUGUUUUCUUUGCAACUUGAAUUUUUAUGGACGUGAAAGGGAGGAAAAUUAUAUUUUGUGCUAAUGGACAAGCACGAUUCGCCAUAGUGCAUGUUUGGUUCUGCAGCUGCCCUCGCCUAGCCUCACCGGCGCGGGCAACAAGGGGCAGGCUAGCUGAUUUGACUCUCUCACAUGAGCAAGCCAAAUCUCGCUGGCACAAGCCUCGAGGUGCCUAGGUGAAGCAACCAAGUGCUCGCGCAUCCUAGCUCGGCAAGGCAACAUCAUGCCGAGCAAUGGAACCAAACGUGCCUAGUCAAAAAAUGUGAAAUCCUUUUGCAUAUUUAAUAACAACAAAGCUCAGUUAUAGAAGGUGAAAAGUGUAAUUACUGAUCAGCGGUUCACCAUAGUCACAAUUUUGAAUAAUCAGCGACGAUGAACCACCAUUGUCCAAAGUUUGAAAACUUCCAUUGAAUAAUAAGGAAAGGUGAUUUCUUUUUUAAUUUGCUUCCAUUGAAAAAUAAUAAAAUCCCUCUAGAGGGCUUUUAUUUUGCAUUGGGAAGACGAAGAACUGUUCCUAAGUAACAGAAAUAAUAUAAUGCGAUACUGCAGGAAUAGAAGGGACAAUUCACGCCACGAACAGUCUUAAAAAACAAUAAAUUUCAUUUCAAGGGUGAUAGCAAAAGGUUGUAUCCAUGAAUAAACAUCGUAUACCACGUGGUCCAAUGCAAGUGGACAACUAGCAUAUCAAAAAAACCCCACGACGACCAAUUUCCCACUCGCUCGUUGCUGCUAGAGAAUGUCGCCAAAAGCCUGCACAGCCGUGAGGAAGGCCGAAGGCGUCAGCAGGGCAUCCUCAACCUGGAUGUGAGAAGGGUUUUAAAUUUAGUUUCAGCUUUGUUAAUUCCUAACUAUUGUAGAACCUCACAUCCAGUGAUUAAAAUUUUGAUCUCUUUCAAUAGUAAUCGAAAUUACAUCGCAUUUUUUACUGCAAGAUCCAACUUUUUAAAUUUCAUGAAAUUCGAUGGAUAUAGGAAACAAAGCUGAAACUAAACUUAAAACCCUUCUCACAUCCAGGUUGAGGAUGCCCUGCUGACGCCUUCGGCCUUCCUCGUGGCUAUGCAGGCUUUUGGCGACAUUCUCUAGCAGCAACGAGCGAGUGGGAACAGGGUCGUCGUGGGGUUUUUUUGAUAUGCUAGUUGUCCACUUGCAUUGGACCACGUGAUGUGCGAUGUUUAUUCAUGGAUACAAACUUUUGCUAUCACCCUUGAAAUGAAAUUUAUUGUUUUUUAAGACUGUUCGUGGCGUGAAUUGUCCCUUCUAUUCCUGCAGUAUCGCAUUAUAUUAUUUCUGUUACUAAGGAACAAUUCUUCGUCUUCCCAAUGCAAAAUAAAAGCUCUAGAGGGCUUUUAUUAUUCACGAAUAAUAAAAGCCCUCUAGAGGCCUUCAUCUUCUCACUGGAUUUGAGGUUCUACAAUAGUUAGGAAUUAUUCACGAGCGAGUGGGAACAGGGUCGUCGUGGGGUUUUUUUGAUAUGCUAGUUGUCCACUUGCAUUGGACCACGUGAUGUGCGAUGUUUAUUCAUGGAUACAACCUUUUGCUAUCACCCUUGAAAUGAAAUUUAUUGUUUUUUAAGACUGUUCGUGGCGUGAAUUGUCCCUUCUAUUCCUGCAGUAUCGCAUUAUAUUAUUUCUGUUACUAAGGAACAGUUCUUCGUCUUCCCAAUGCAAAAUAAAAGCCCUCUAGAGGGCUUCGUCUUCUCACUGGAUGUGAGGUUCUACAAUAGUUAGGAAUUAUUCACGGAGGGCAGCAAUUAUUCCUAAGCACCGUAAAAUUUCUCUUAUUUCACAUAGGCACAAAAAAUAUUACACUAGAAUCCUUACAAAGACACCUUUGACAAAAAGAAAUUGCUAAGUCCUUGUAAGGUCCUUCUGGCCAUCUUUGUCCCCAGCCAUUGGAGGAGACAGUCGACUAGCCACCAUGGCACCAUGUAGUGGCAUAGGAACUCGCUGAACGUUCAACUUGAAGUCAAUACCUUUCUCGAAGAAGAUUUGUACUCCCUUUGUUUCAAAUUAUUAUUCAUUUUGAUUUUUCUAGAUACAUAACUUUUGAUAUGCAUAUAAAUAUAGAUUAUAUCUAGGUACAUAGUAAAAACUAUGUAUCUAGAACAUUAAAACGGAUAGUAUUUUGGAAUCAGAGGGAGUAGAUUUUAAAUGGCAAAAGAAGUUGAGCUGGGCUAGCUGGUUGUAGCCCCUCUUCAGCUGCCUUGCUCUUAAGGCUUAUGCCUUGUAACAUCCCAGUGAAAACCAAACAGCGACUGCAUUUUUCUUAUGUGCCGAAAGACGGAUGGACUGUCAGGUUUGCAUUUGCAUAUACAUUCUUCUCGCAGAAUCUGGUCACACAUCAUGUUACAGUAAUUUCAGAGUUACAGACACAAAGGUAAGCACGCCAUCUAAUACUUAAUUAAGCUUCAUUAUUCAUGAUGAUCUUUGUAGGAAGCAUUAAGCUCACACCUUUUUCACUACUUUAGGCAGCUUGUCAUCUUGCUUACUGCUUACCACCUGGAGCUCCCUUCCUCCCCUGAGCUGCAUGCUUCUUCUUCCUUUCAUUCUUCGAGUUGUGGUCGUCAUCAUCAUUGUUACCAGAAUCCGAAUCGUGAUCAUGAUCAUGGUCCGAGUCUGAAUCAUGAUCAUGGUCUGAGUCUGAAUCGUGAUCACGAUCAUGGUCAUGGUCCGAGUCUGAAUCGUGAUCAUGAUCUUGAUCCGAGUCUGAGUCAUGAUCAUGGUCCGAGUCUGAAUCGUGAUCGUGAUCAUGGUCCGAGUCCGAAUCGUGAUCCUGAUCACGGUCUGAGUCCGAACCGUGAUCUGAAUCAUCGUCAUCGUCUAGCUUCCUUGCCUUGCCCCAAUAGGAUCCUGUCUUCUUUCCUUCCUCCUCGGCGGAUACCAAAUUCGUCAUCUUUUCGGUGGCACUGCCUCGUUGACCCCUGGCGGCCUUGGCUUCCUCCAUCUCCUUGUCAUAGUCACUGUGCACCUGUAGCAGGUUGCUCUUCUCCUUGGUGAUGGCGUGGUCUGUUGCCUCCGCAGCCGUCAAUGGGUGUGAGGCGCAGGAGACGGAGGCAAAUACUACGGCCACUACCAAGAGGAGGAUGGUGGCAGAGAAGACCACUGCACUGGCCAUGUAGCCAACACUGACGGUAUAACAAGUGUAUAAUGAGGGCGUAAUGUGUGAUCUGUGCGUGUCAUGGAAGCAACGCAGGGAAUGGGUGCCCUCUAUAUACUGGAGGGCGUUAUGCUACUGCUCUUGGAGUGGUUUUAGCACUGGAGGGUGACUGGGUGAGUGAGUCAUGUUAUCUUGUUCAUCUUUUUAGGUGUGGAGCUAGUGCUUUCUAGUGUGAAGGCACUAGGAAGGCUGCUAUAUGUUAUUGUUGUUCGUUUUAUCAUUUCUACUUUUGUAUUGUUACCGGAAAUCCCGAUGGGCACAAUAUACUAUUUUGGGUUCAUUUGAAAGUUUUGUGCUAAGAUUUCUUCAGCUUAGAGAAAUUUUGUUGUACUCAUAAAAGAAGAAGGAAAAGAAGCAAUUUUUAAUUGUACCCCCUCCGUUCCAAAUUGCAAGUCUUUUUGGCUUUUCGUAUUUUCUAGAUAUAUAGAUUUUGCUAUAUAUUGAGACAUAACGUGUAUCUAGGUGUGCAGUAAAAAUUAGAAAAAAGACAAAACUACCUUAGAACGGAGGAGGGAGUAGGCACCAGUGAAAUUUUGAUUCUAGAAUAUCGGAUCCAUAAAACUUUUUUUAUAUGUGAAUCAUCGGAUGAUUUAAAGAUUCUUUUUAGCAGGGCUCCGGCUCCUAAAAUGGGGAGGAGCUGGAGGAGUCAAUUUUUUCUCCAGCUUCUCUAUAUAAAAUGGCUCCGACUUCUCAAUGCUUUAGGUAUGGAUCUAUUUUUGAGCAAACUAUUUGGUAAAGCUUCAGCUGGAGCCGAAGGAGAAACCGGAGGUCCAAAAUCUAACAAAAUGCCUGGCCCAUUGGUGCGUGGUUGAGCUGGUGUGCACAAAGGCGCAAGAGUGUGCUCCCAACUAAAAGUUAGCACCACUAUUGGAUUUGCAUGGGUUUAUCAGCGAGGAGAUUGAAAGAUAACAGGAUGCAGUUUGAGUCUUCCUCUUCGGACUUGGAUGCAUUCAUCCAUCCUAAUAGAAUUUAGAAAGCUUCUCCGACUAAGAUAAUAUAAGUGUAGGUUAGUGUAUCAAAAUACAGAUUUGCUGUUAUUUUUUCAAAAAAUAGUUUUUGUUGCGUUAUUUCGUGGCAUUGUCCAGCCAUGUACAAUUCGUUUAGAGUUUUACCAUUUAAUAUCUUGUUUGAAAAUAAAGUAAAAAUAAAAAUUAAAGGUUUGUGACGCAUGCUGGCCACGGUGAAAAAAGGUAUCUAUAAACUAAAUUUAUUCUAAAAUAUUGAUUAUAAAGUAGGUUAAGUAAAUGAAAAAAUGCAAACUGGAUGUAGCUUAGCUGUUAAUGUUUCUUGUGGUGGAACUUUGAGUCUUGAUUCGGCACUAAUGCUUGUAUUUUCCUAAAUUUAUUCAAAGAUUUAACUGGCGCUGGCGACGUGGUACCAGUGGUGACUUCAUCAAUCUCGAGAAUUUGCCGACUCAGUCUUUCGAAGGUAUUCAUAGGAAUAGGUUACGUGUGUGUUCAUAAAAAGCGAGUGUGCGUGGUGUGUGAGUAAAAAGUAAAUGAAAAAAUAUCAAGAAAUCUGCCGUCUUACACCAAUACCAAAGCGCCGCCCGCCACUCACCGCUUGGGCCAACCGUGGAAGGGGCGGGAAGCAAGAGGAGUUUCCCGCGCUCAGGCGGCCGCCACUCCACUGCCGUUCCCCCCGACCCCCAAAUCCCCAAUCCCAAACUAGGGUUUCUUCCGCCCCUCAAUCGCCGUUCCUCAUGCCUCCCAAGCGCCGCCGCGCGGAUCAGAGCUCGCCGGCGUCGACGCCACCUCCUCCCCUGCGGAAGCCAAAGCGUCAGCCGGUGGUCGUCUUCGCCCACGGCGCCGGUGCCCCCUCCUCCUCCGACUGGAUGGUCCAGUAAGUCGCCUCUCUCUCUCUCUCUCUCUCUCUCUCUCUCUCUCUCUCUCUCUCUCUCUCGAUCAGGAGGCUAAUCAGAUCUUCAGAUACGUUCUUGGUAAAACAUUAAUCUUCUUGUGUCACCUGCAUCAUGAUGUGCUAAAUCGUUCUGCUAGUUGGAAGAAGAUGGUGCAGGACGCACUGGAUGCUGUCGAAGUGGUGACCUUUGACUACCCAUGUUAGUUCAUUCAGUAAAUUUGUUGCUAACCCGUUACCCUUGGUCCGUCAUUUCGUUGGAUCAAAAUUUGUCAGCAAGAGCUAAGGGGUCGCAUGACAACGUUACAGAUAUGUCUGGUGGGAAGCGCAGGGCGCCGCCAAAGGCAGAAAAGCUUGUUGAUCAUCACCUGGGUGUCGUGAAGGAUGCUGCCAGCAAGUAUCAGGGGCAUCCUCUUAUUUUGAUGGGGAAGUCCAUGGGAUCGAGGUAGUGUUUGGUGGACAACAAUCCUGUUUGUUUCAUAGUUGUAUUAUGCAUCUUCUUGGUUUAGUUCAACAUUCAAAAACCUGUAGCUUGCUAUGCUUCAACACUACACGUUCUUCUGAUCUGAGUAUUUGACAAUGGUGUAUCAACAUUCUCAGGGUCAGCUGCAUGGUGGCAAGCUCCGAUGACAUUGAUGUUUCUGCUGUUGUAUGCUUGGGUUACCCUUUGAAGGUUCCUCUCAUGCCACUGUCUAGUUGAUCUGCACAUUGCAUUUUUGUUCCCUUGUACCUGAAUAUUAUCUUCUAUUGGGUGAAACUCUUAAACUGAUGUCCAGAUAAGAAAUGGAUUUAUAUUUCCUUUGUAGCUUGAUUGGGACAAAUGAUGGUUGCUGUGUCUUUUAAGUGAUUGCUUUUGCACCCACUAUGUUGCAGCUUUAUGAAUUGACAUUUUGUUACUGGCGGUGCAUUCCUGGAGAUGAGACUACAAAUUUCCUUUUGUUCCUCUCUGAACAUGCUUGUUUUCCGCUCCUACUUUCCUCCCUGUCCUGGGAACCUGACCUUGGUCAUGAUGUUUCCUAUCCCUCACUCCUAUGACCAGAAACCUGUACUGAUCACCAUUAAAUUAUAAUUUAAGAAAUCAAUUUUCUUUUCAUCUCAUUUUGCUCUAUCCAACUUAAACCUGACCUUGGUCAUGAUGUUUCCUAUCCCUCACUCCUAUGACCAGAAACCUGUACUGAUCACCAUUAAAUUAUAAUUUAAGAAAUCAAUUUUCUUUUCAUCUCAUUUUGCUCUAUCCAACUUAGGGAGUGAAUGGAGCAGUGAGAGAUGAGACACUAUUACAGCUGAAGGUUCCAACAAUGUUUGUUCAGGUAAUGGAAUUUCUCUUAAUUUUUUUUCCUGAUAUUGUAAAGUGAAACAUAGUAAAUAGUGUUUCUCUGUUUUACUUUUGUUUACAGGGCAGUAAAGAUGCCUUGUGCCCCUUAGAUAGACUUGAGUCCACUCGCAAGAAGAUGACCUGCAAGAAUGAACUGCAUGUUAUUGAUGGUGGUGACCACUCUUUUAAGAUCGGUAAAAAAUACCUAGAGUCUAGCGGGUUGAAUCAACAUGAUGUUGAAAUGGAAGCUGUUAAAGUGAUUUUGCAGUUUGUCCAGAACUCCUUCACUGAGAGCUGUGCCUAGCCGUCUUGUAUAUUUCCUUUAUAACACCUCAUGGUGACGAGACCUUAAUCUUUGGCUUUGUAUACAACUAAUAUGUUAAUGUAAUCCUUUAGGACAAGAUGUUAGUUCUGAUUUGCACUCUUCAUCCAUUGUAUGUUCUUUUGACGUUACAUGAUCAGAUGCUGGAAAUCAUCAGGCUACUGUCUUCGAAUCAUAUUUCUUCCUUGUCUGGUUAUCUGUUCAUAAUCAAUAUAUCAGUGUCACUGACUGGGAGUUCAUUUGUCAAUGUAAACUACUAAAUAUGAAUGCACACCAUUAGAUAACUGAGAAGAGAAUUAUUUUCUUGUUAGAAUUGAACGGAUGUAUAGUGUAUUGCAUCAUGGAAUUAUUGUGCUGUUGAAAAUGUCGACUCUCUGUUUUGCUCUCUUUGCGGCCUUUGGAAUCAUGGUGUCCUUUCAAUGUUCUUUGUGUCCUUUUGAACUCGUGCUGCUGAGAGUUCACAUUACAUUAAUUGAAGAAAAACACGAUCUAAUAUUCUUUCAUUGGUAAUGUUGUAAUUGUAUGUGCUAUUUGAUUCUUUAUUAUGUCACACAUGUAAGUUUACCUUACCCUUGUAAAAAAAUUGCAUGUAUCUUCAUUCACUCAUAUGAACUUGGACACUGUCCACUUAACUAAGUUGAGGAUUCCUGGUAUGCCCAUGGUUUAUUUUAGUGAGCAUGCCCAUGGUUUAUUUUAGUGAGCAGCUGGUGUCAAUGUAAGUUUCAACUUAAAUCUAAUUAUAUGCUGCCUAUUUAUUCCCAUUCACUGACUCAAAUCAAUUUCGUGGAAUCAGCUGUUUGCAUGUGUUUUGUUUUCCUCGUUGGGCAUUUAAUGCGAAAAGGUGUGAGCAAACUCACUUUAGAAAGUAGCAGAUAACUAAAUUGCAUGUUAAAGCUACCAAUCUGAUUGCUUCUAUUCUACAUUUUGCUGAUCUAUAGAUAUCGUGUAACCAGAGAGACAAUCGGUUGGAAGGAUAGUGCCAUUGGAAUGUUGAAGCUACUGUCAAUAAGAGGUCUUGCGUGGUAUGAACUUAACUUGAAGACUAUAUUUUCUUGAGUUUUGACAGAAAUCUGGCCAUGGAUAUUACAUUGUUUUGAUCAACUCAUUUUAAUAGACACAAAAAGUCUUGAGACAAGGAGUCAGUCAAUCAUCAACUUUGAACUUAUGACAUGUCUCAACUCUCAAGGGCAGACAAUGAUUGCUAGCUUUUGAAAUGCUCUGGAACUGUUUUGUCAAUGUCUGUCUUGCAGUAGUUACAUGGAUGGACUCCAGUUUUUGUUCCAACUUCUAGAUUUAUUGUUGACAUAUUUGCAUUCAGCUUAUGAGUGACCAUGGGAUGUCCUGACCUCCUGGCUUCUCUGAAUGGUUUCUUAGGAUAAUUUAGCUGCACGACAUGCAACAAACAAGUAAGCGAAUAUCCAAAAUUCCUAAUGGCACCAUCAUAUCCCCUCACAUGUUAGGUAUACAGCAAUGGUGCUUCUGGGGAAAAGAGGGUAUACUUGUUCCAUGUUAAAGCUUAUGUCCUGUUGCAUCUUUACAACUGGUUGCCACUUCCAUAUCAUUUUCCAUAUUGUUUUGUGUUUUGGGUCUAUCCUUGCUUCUGUAAAUACAAUAGACAACCAAUUGAAGGAUGCCUGUUGCACACCCAACACAGUUUGGCGACUUCAGAAGAAAACGGAUAGGUUAGUAUGAUAAUGUGGUUGUACCAAAUGUAGGCACACGUGUCACAUAAUGAUAUGUUUUAUUUUAUUUUUAGGUCCAGAUUGCAUAAGAAGUUCGUUUUACAAUAGCAGGUGAGCCCCCUGCUUUUAUUAUUUCAUUUAUAUAUGCACAAAAGUUUUUUUUUCAUUUGACUAGAUUGCAUAUGAAAUUACUAACCGUGAUAUAGGGAUCCCUCCCUAGGAGUCCAUAUACCAUCCAGAUUAAACUGGUUAAGAAGGAAAAUAAUGACAAGUAGAAAGGCAUGAACUCAACACUUCUCGUCCUUACAACUUGUUUCUGCAAUUGUGAGAGUGCAAAAAGGUUAAAUUACUAGACAAUGUGCCAAAAAAUAAAAAAGCAUCAAUUGCAUCAUUAGAAACUACUUUCUUCAUUUUUUUUCCUUGUCUAUAUUAAUGCAUUUUCUGUAGUAAUUUAGUAUAUGAGAAGUAUUCAUUGAGUUGUAUUUCUUAUGGUACUUAUUCUAGUUUCGUACUUCUUGUAGCAUGAGUUUUAAAUGAUUUUGCCAUGAUGCCUUUAACUGUUUGUAUCUGUAGUCCCUGUUUCUAGAGCUUCUAUAACUAAUAGUACUCACCACAGCAACAAGGGGAGAGCUGUACAUCAGCAUGGCAGACAACACACCAAUACUUCCAACAAAUACGUUGCGGAUGUGGUGGGUGUGGAUUGUAAAGCUUGAGAUUAAUACGGUCAUGCCGAAGAUUGCCAGAACCAGUGAUACAAUUAGGAUAACAAGCUUCUGCAAGUUAGUCAGGAUUCUUGGUCAGCUUAUGAAUAUUGAAUCCUUUUUUAGGGCAUAAUUUGGUUCUUUCAAAAACUCCAUGCUGACAUGCUUAAAACUUGAGUAUUCCUACCUGAACAAAACUAAUAACACACAGUAUAUUUCUUUAAAAGAUAAAUGAAAAAAAGUUCAAAUAUUCGUUAUGUAUUGCAUGUGUCGUAGAAGAAUAUGUGAUUCGAUUUUGUAAAUUAGACAUCCAUUUUAGCAGGAUUACUUGAACAUAAAGAUUGAAGAAUUCCAUCAUGGACUCAAUAAUUGCUUACCACAGCAUGAAAAUAAGGAAUUUAUUAGCUUUGAAGUUUGAACUGUACACUGGUUACGCAAGCUAUAACAUAUUGAGUGGGCAGUAUGUAGAAUUUUCUACCGUAUAGUGCCCCCCCCCUUUUAUUAUUUUUUUUUGGGGGGGGGGUGCUAUCUGCUUCUGUUUUUUUUUUUACAUUUUUAAACCUUCUGAUGUCCUAGUGUCUACUUGAGCUUACCGUAUCAAGUAUGUGAUAGUGAAACUGGCUAUAGAAGCCUGACAGAGAUUAACAUAAACUACCGUAAAAGGAGCGAUAUUGAGUUCUUUAGAAACGAUUUACCUUUUUUUCUCUUGGUGCAAACCAUAGGUAUAUGCUGAUGAAUGAUAUUUCAAAGAGUACUCCUAUUGAGCUGAUGAGGAAAACUGUCAAGUUCUUCCACCCAGAACUAACAACUGGAAAACCGUACCAGCUAUAUGUGAGGCAGCUGAACAGAGUCAGGAUAUAUGGUAUGCAUGAGAAUUCGCCUACACUAGCCUCCUUUAUUACUCUUUUAAAAGUCAAUCUGGAAAACAAAGUGAAAACAAUACAACAGUAAGUAGUACGCCAUGCUGUGUUUAUGAUCAUAUUAGUUAAGUAUGUAAUCAUGUACAUUGGUGCUGAAUAGAGAAGCAUACAGACUGCACAUCCUGCAAGAAAGAACCAAGGUAGUGUUACAAAGUUGAAUUAGUUUGCUUUCAUGAUAAGCAUGGAAAACCCUUCCACUCGAAAUAAUGAUGAAAUGAACUUAUUUAGGUAGUUGUAAACAGAAAAUACCUAUAAUUCCAAGUAUCACACGUAUGCUUGGAACCAUUAUUAUGCUCCGAAGUCUUCACUAGCCUUGCCACAGGAUGCCAGGAGCUAAUUGUUUCAGUGAUCCAUUGUUCACAAUAAUGCUGGGGUAUUUAUAGAAAGCAAAUAUUUUUUUUAAUGCUGAAGCCUGGAGGCAAAGAUAUUGCUCAAACCACCAUGGUAGAAUAUUACAUGUGAAUUGCCUACUUUUCUGUUCAUAUGAAAUUUUUUCUGCGAAUGGAAAGCAGUCAGACAAAGUCUUCUAUAUUUUGUGUGGCAUCUACCAAAUUGAUUCCACCUAUGGGCCUUUAAGAAUCGUAAAAGCUUUCAUGUUCGAUUGUGGUGCAUUGUUGUUGGGUGACUUGGUGUGCCGGAGCAUCUAUUGUAGUUUAUUUUAUAAUAACAUUGAAUAAGAUAUGAUGACAAACUAUUAGAUUUGCUUGACCAUGGAGAUGUAGGGUAACACUGAAAUUCUUAUUGCAAAUGUUGCUCUUGGGUGCCUCUAAGUAGUGCACAACGAGAAGAAAACAAUAAAUAACUGAGUGCUUCUUUGUUAGAUGAAUAUAUUCCGAGUACAAUGAAGUUGUAUCCUCUAGGUACUUCUGAGUUCUGACUAUUGUUAGAUGAAUAUAUUCUGUGUUGUGUAGUUACCUACUAGUGUAUAGUAGGGUAGGGUGUUUCUUGCACCUGUACAUCUCUUGUUAUCACCCGCUUGGGGAAUAGCCAUACUCCAAUUAAGUAGCAGUGGUUAUUUUCAGAAUGAAGCAACUCGGUGGCUCAACGGUGGUUGUGCUUGGUGGUGACUGGUGAAGAAUAUUGCAUAUGAUGAGCUGUUCUGCUAGAAGAUGGGAGUGGUGAAGAAUAUUUUUGAUGAUUCAUGUACAUUUUUCUUAGAUAAUGAUGAUUCAUGUACAUUAACCGCCACGUUUGAUGUCAGGCUUCUGGUCGUGUCAUCCCACUCCUUUUUUUUCCCAGAUUCUUCGCAGGUGCAUCGUUUGUACGAUGAGUUCUUUCCUAUCUCGAUCUGGUCAAGAAUUCAUGGUUUUGCUUAGGUGGCACAUACAGAUUGUAAGUAGUAAGUAUAUAUAUAUGGAAGGUACUUCGUCAAUGUUCAAUAGAAAUCAUCGCAAGCCUAGCAGAAGUGCAGAACAUUUGGGCACCUGAAUGGGUGUAAGGCGUGUAACUUCCAUACUCCUACAAAUGGGAGUUUGCACGCUUCAACUAUUGCACACUUGCUUCGAGUGCAAAUUAUGAAGUUGCACAUUGACCUGAUGUUAAUAUAACUGCUGAAUAGGCAAACACGAUCAAAGAUGUAGAAGGAAACGAGGAAAUGAAGUUGCAGAAAAAUACAAAGAAAUAGGACUCCAUUGGAGUUUUUCAGUUACUUUUGGAUCAUCAUGGACUCAUGGUCCGGCCUUGCCGGCUUCUUAUAUUCUGAAAUAAUGUGCAUGUUAGGAACUUAGGAUCACUCAUAAUCUCAUUGUGGAUGCUUCCACUUGCUCGACCUCGACCACCAGUCUUAGUGCUGGACUAACUUUAGUCAGUUAUUCUGUGGAAAUCAAAAGGCUCUCUAAUGCUUGCUGGGGUGGCUUUGAGUACUACGCAUUAUCAUAUCAUGACAAAAAAAAAGGAACAGUAUAAUCAUGUGAGAAGUCCUUUCUUAAUAUUGUGUCCUCUCCAGUGGAAGGAUUCGUUUAAUUUCGACCGUUAGCUCAAAGAACCUGCUUAGCAGUGGAAAAGGUAAAGCUGGAGAUAAGUCAAAAUCAAACAUUCCUUGAAGCUGAAUAUUGUCUUUCAUCCCUUUCAGCUUGCUGCAACAACCUAGCCAAUCUCAGGCUCAGGCCUAAAAACAUUGGAAUUAACUUGACCCAUGUCUAUUUUUUCCCAAUUAAACAGAGACAAUAUUUAGUGAAAUUAGAUUUUCAUUGCUAACUCCUUUCCUGUUGAUACUUGAUAGCAUCACUACCUUUCCAUCUUCUUUCAAGUAAUGUUAGUGGUAUUAAGACGCACAUCCGUAUCUAUGCCCGCUACAUAUUAUAACCACGGUGCAUCAAGUUCUAUGGAUUAACAUUCCCACCUUGCAGAAAACUGCAAUAUCGUUUGUGCUGGGCUUCAUUGUUCUGUUACUCCACGGCUUGCUUCUGCCAAGAAAGUAUUCAGUUAUCAGUAUUGCACUGCAUAGUAACUAUGCAUCCCAUCCCUAGGAAAUUUAGCCUUCUUCCUCUCACUGCUCCUCUUUCUCACCUGUGGCCGUCACUGAGAUGUAGACAUAUUGAUAUUUUCAUAUUUGUAUGUUCAUUUAUGGUACUAAUAUCAACACACAGAAAUUUCUCUCAUCUGUAGCACACCAAGACUCCAAGAGCUUUACUCAGUUGUGAUGAUAGUCUUUUAGACCUAUGUCUUGCCAUAAAGCCACAAGGCACGACAAGUUGCUCGUAGAGAUUCACAGAGAAUUGUUGAUGGGAAUUAAGAGCUCCAUUCAGAAUUGGUGUCUGGAAUGUAGGAAUUUGACCUUAGACCUAAACAGCUUGAUGGUCUAACUGCGCCAAGGUGGUUAUGACAGAAGUAUUUCAUCAAAAGAUAAGAAAAAGGUUCUAUUUUUGAACUUCAUCCAAACAUGAACCCUGAAAGUUCACUUUGUCCCCUAGAUUUCAUUUUACGUAAGGCAUAGAGGAUGGUUCAUUGUUUCUGCACCUUUUCUCGUGGCCUACUGAACUAAACAAUGAGCGGGCCUGGAGUGAAUCCUGUCGUCACCUUCAGUUUCAGCCUUCAGGUCUGCAGUGCCAGACCAAACGCCGGACCGGGCGCAGCCGCACGCCUUCGCGCACCGACUCGUCGAGGUCCCCUUCACCGCCUCAGCCCGGGGAGCUAGCGACGCGCAGGCGCCGCCACGGCGCCCGAAUCGCCGGAGGAUGCGUGCGGCGGCGAUGCGAGGACCGUGAGAGGAACGCAAAGGGAGCCGGAGGCAGCGGCUAUACGGGAGAUAUGGGGCCUAGAGAGGGCUCCAUCGCGGCGACGCGAGCGGAGCGGAAAUCUCCGGCGGCAGCGCCGGGCUCGUCGGCUGCUCCGGCGCCGGCGUCGAAUAUUUGCAGAACGCCCCUGGUUUGGAUCGCGAUCCGAAUCAGGGGUUCUUUCGUAAAAGAUCGGAUAGUAUAUUUUUGAAACCCCCCCAUUUUUGAUCGAUAUUAAUAAUCGCGAUCCAAUCCAGGAGUUCAUAUUUAAUAUUUUAGAUCGCGAUCAAUAGUCGCCAUAGUCCGUUUGUAAAAUCUCCGAACGUAUAUUUGCAUAAAACUCCCUGGUUCGGAAGGCUCCGGCACCGACGGCCGCCGCCGUCCGCCUCAGGUUCCGUUCCAGCCGGAAGCACAAAGUCCCAUCCUCCUCUGCAUCCGCCGCAGCAGCACGCGGACCACCGGCUCCGCGCGCUCGCCGGCCGCGCCGAGGGCUUCGGCCGCCACGCCAUCGGCGGGCCAUCUACCAUGUGACGUCCAUCCAAGGUACGGCAGCGAGAUCCCCCCAUCCAAUUUCUCUUCUAAUCGAGCGAUUGGUUUCUGAAUCAACGCGGGGGGGGCGGGGAGGUGCGCUCAGACGACGGCCGCGGGACGAUUGGUUUCUGGAUCAUCUUUGAGUUGUCCGGCACCAUCCACCUCCACUCUUACCUCCGCGUCGCCUCCUACAAGAACAAGACCAUCAACGGCAAAGGGGCUCCAGCUCAAGACCUUGCAUCACGUCAUCAUCUGCAACCUGGUGUUCGAGGGAGGCCGGGGACACGACGUCGACGGCAUCCAGAUCAAGCCCGGAUCCACCAACAUCUGGAUCGACCGAUGCUCCCUAGCCGACUACGACGACGGGCUCAUCGACAUCACGCGACAGAGCACAGACAUCACGGUCUGAAGGUUUGUGCUUCUUGUUGUGUGACUGGAAUGUGCAAUGCGAUGCAGCAAAUCGAUCCAUGGAUGAUCUUUGAAGCUCAUGAACCAACCCACUCAAACCAAUCACUGGAGAUGCCAUUUUGCCCGGCACGACGGUGCUCAUCGGCGACCGCUGAAUCGCUGAUGAAGUGAAAAACGGUCAAGAUCUGCAUCCCCAUGUUAGGUGAAACUGCGCGCUUAACCUUGAUUCGAUGUUAGUAAUUAAAAAGCCAUCAGUGCCGGCCAAGCACGCGUCCCAAACCACGUUACGACGAUUUCAUAAGCAUUAUGAUUCUCUCUGGACCAAAUGGUUCUGAGAUGAUCCACGGUGAAACAGACAGCCGAUUACGCUGAAUUUAUGUUCAGAUCAUCAGCUAGCACUUGCUUUAUUAAACUGAUAAUAUAAUACACCCAGCAUUCCUCAGUUUGCAUAGCUACUUGAUCUCCACAAUUUUUCAAUCUGAGCUAUGGCUUGAGUUGAAGAACCCUCCACGCUCAAAGCACGCACUGCUUUGUCCUUAAGUUCACAGGUCCUUUUUCUCAGUGUUUCCCCAUCUACGGUUUCCAUCACACACUUAAUCACUCUAGCAACCUCCUCCUUGCACUACCGAAGAAUGACCCACAUCCAAGAGGAUCAUCGUUUGGCGUCUUGACAACCCAGAUAAAUCGUUGUCCACUCAUCUCCAGCCCGAGCGCCAGCUCAGCCGUUUGUUGCCAUGUCAGCGUGCCACCGCUUAGCUUCCGAACAACACGUACACUACGGAUCCACGUGGCUGCUGGUGCAGCCACCCCAAGCACUCGUACGUGAUCCCGUGCAACUGCCGGUCUGGCCAGCACCAAUGGUCCGACCGCGAGGUACUCCUGGGACUGGGAGCACGUGCGGGAGGCUGCACGCGACGGCGUGCGCGAUGCGAUCGCGCACGGAGGCAGAAGGCGGAAGCGCCUGGGCCGCCUCGGCGGGGAGCGCGACGAGGUCGACUCCCUCGGGCACCGCGGCGGCGACCGCGAGGUACUCCUGGGAGGGGGAGGGCGUGGCGAAGGCGAAGAGGACCGUCGCGGCGAGGCCGUGGUCCGCAACCAGGCGGCGCGCGAGCUCCACGAAGGGGAUGAGGUGCCCUAUGCACGGGCUGCAAAAGAGGAGCACCCGCGGCCGCCAGGCUUCUUGCGCGCGCUGAUCCAUGGCGAAGUGGGAGACGGCGUCCGGCUCUGGCUUCUGGUAUAGAUCGAAUAGGUUGUGUUUCUGCGCGCGUGUUCGUGUUCUUGCAACUAAGUUUGCUAGUCACUAGCCACUAGAUCAACUGCACUGGUGUGGUGUCUCGUGGUCACUAGCCACUAGGUCAACUACAGUGGUGCGUCAAAGAAAAUUAGAAAGUCAACUGGGUUAACUAGCAAACAGAUCGAAACAGUAUCUUGCAUGACCUAGCUAAAUGUUCAGAAAGAAAAACUAGGUGAAGUCCGGGAAUCUGGGAUCUAGAUCUAGAUAAAGUCAAUCCAAACGACGGAUUACAUUAGUACUGAGUUUAUUUUUUAACACCAUUGUAUUGUAUAACUAUCCUAGAGAUAUUUUACGUGUAGUGUUUUCCAUUUCCAACCGGUUCCAAGUUAGCUACCUUUUUCGUCUUUGAAGUGGCGUACUCCUUCCGUUCCAAAUUGUAGGUCGUUUUGCAUAAUAAUAUCUAUGAACUUAAAAAAAUCAAAACGACCUACAAUUUGGAAUGAAAGUAGUAUAUUGCUACAGCUAGAACUAUUUAUAACUAUCAGAAAUGCCCUUAAAGGUCCCUGAAAAUGUGUUCCUCGUUCUGCUAGCACCAAAAUACUCCCAUCUAUGGCGCCGCCACCACUUGAUCUCCAUGCAAUGAGUGAUCAGAUUUGUUCGAUCCAUUUAUUGGAGGAUGGAAUGGGCUAAUGAUAUAAGGGCAUGUUUGAUGGCUCAACUGGGAUAAGCCGGAUACAUGCACAACCAUGCUCUUUGGUUGCAUGAAUCCGCAAAUACAAGAUGAACGCUGUGGAUGUUUGGUUGUCUAGAAUCUCAUGCGCGUCCUCACCUCCCAUGUACGAUCUUGCGUCCUGCGCGAGCUAGGCUGUCGAGGAACACAUCUCAUUUUCCUCUCUCUCGUGCCAGGCUCGCCACCAGAGCCUUUUGCACGCCGAGGCUCGGGCCUAGCUAGUUGUCUAGGCAACCAUACGCUCGCGUCCUGCAUUCCGCAGGCUAGGCUAGACCAUAUGCAGCUAACCGAUUGCACCCUAAGUACUAGAGACCAAAAAAAGUCAUGUGAAAAUUUGGCACCACAUGUCUAAUAUGUGCCUCUGGGCACUUUUGAUGGGUACUUUCUAAAAUCACUACCUCUAUGUAUUACACUAGUGUUUUAGCACAUUGUUAGAACAUGACUCAGAAUUGAGACUACUCAUUUUUUUGCAGUAUUCUCCAAAAUAUGAUGUAGCUUGAUUUCAAUAAGAUACACAUCAUCGAGCGAAAACAUAACCAAUAACAGGAAUACAAAAUAAUCCCUUAACUGUGUUCAUUUUCUAUUAAUGCAUUUCCACGAUUUUGCAAUUUGUGCUAAAGUACGAGUUGAGCAACCAUCCUUGCUCAAAGCAUGCACUACUUUGUCUUUAAGCUCACUUGCGCGCUUCCUCAUUCUUUCAGCUUCCUUCCCUACUAUCACACGUUGAAUUGCACUCACAAGCUCCUCUUUGCUUGUAAAUCGAUCAACUCCAACCUUGGCCCGGACUGCCACUCCGACCUGGACCUCCAACAUUGCCGCAUUCAUAUUUUGCUCCGCAUAAAGUGGCCACGCUAUCAUGGGCACACCAUUCGUAACGCUCUCCAAUAUUGAGUUCCACCCACAGUGCGUCACAAAGCACCCGACGGAUGGAUGCCCUAGUAUAGCUGUUUGUGGGGUCCAAGACUGGGUUACGAACCCCAUCCCUCUAGUUCUCUCGAUAAACCCCUCAGGCAAAAAAUCUAAUGAAAUGUCCUCACCUUUUUGAGUCCCGAAGAAUGCUCCAAUUGUUGAACUUUGAUGUGGUCUCUUGACAGCCCAAAUGAACCUACACUGACCAAGCUCCAGCCCACGCGCCAGCUCAGCCGUCUGCUGCCAUGUAAGGGUGCCACCGCUGCCAAAUGACACAUAGACCACGGAUCUACGUGGCUGCCGGUCCAGCCAUCUCAUGCAGUCAUGGUCCCUAUCCACGCCAACCGGUCUGGUCCAGACCAAUGGUCCGACCGGGUGAACUGGUAGCUCCAGACCGCCCAGACCCUCGCCCACCGCGGGCUCAAUGUCGCGGGACGUGUUCACGAGAAUGCCAUCGACUCCCUUGACAGCCUUGGCCAUGGACAAGAACCCGGCGUACGUGUCGCUGCUCCGGUCGGCGAGCAUGGAUGCCGGCAGCUCGUGAGCGUGGAUCGGCACGCAGCCAGGAAGCCGGAUGGGCUCCGUGGCGUCCCGGUGCUCCCCGGCGCGCGCCGCGUCGAUCCCGGGGAGGUGCAGGAACAGGGACAGCGUCAUCCACGGCGAGGUGAAGAACAUGUAGAACGGGACGCCCAUCUCCGCCGCGACGCCGCGCGCCGGAACGCCGACCAUGUCCACGACGAGCGCGGCGAGGGGCGCGUCCGCGGCCAGCUCCCGCGCGAGCUCCCGGACGCGCGGGAGGUUGGAGGCGACGGCGAGCUCGACGCGCGCGCGCUCGGGCGCGGAGGAGGGGAGCAAGUCAGGCGGCGGCGGGGGGAGCGCGACGAGGUCGACGGCGUCGGGGAGGGCGGCGGCCACGGCAAGGUACUGCUCCGAGGGCGGGGACGUGGCCGACGCGAAGAGGAGCGUGGCGGCGAGGCCGUGGUCGGACACGAGGCGGCGCGCGAGCUCCGCGAAGGGGAUGAGGUGGCCCAUGCACGGGCUGCACAGGAGCACCACGCGCGGCCGCGCCGUGCACGCCGGCUUCCGCUCCGGGAGGCUUCCCAUGGCGCCGCGUGACGGUGAGAGCUUGGAGUGGAGUGCUUGCGCGGCUCAGUUGUGUUCUCCUUGGAUCGGCGAUCGUCGUCAGCUUUUGUAGUCUCUCUGCAGAACACGACGAAGACUGUUGAUAACGCAUGGUCUGGUAUGUUCAAGUGAAGUUUGCAUCAUUGCUUGCGUCAUGCAUGCAAUUAUUAAGUGCCAGCUCACGAGUUUUCUAGCUUGAGGAUCGACGUGGUUAGAAAUUUCUACAGCACAGUCAAAAUGGGCAUCGAAUCGAUCGUCGACGCCGGCAGCUUAUAUGCAUGCUCGGUGAUUAAACUAAGGCCUCUCUAGACGAGAGUGAGACCGAGGACCUCGUCAAGAAGGUCUGCCACAUCGCCAUAGGAACUCCUAGGAUCCUUAAGGGCUCCUUUGGAAAUUCAAAAUCCUGUAGGGUUCCUUGUAUUUUCCUUGGAUAGGUUCUCCACGUGGUUUCGGUCUCGGACCAAAUCUCCCCGUCACUUGGGAGCCCAUGACCACGGGUUCAUCGCACCCUAUCCGCGGCUUUUCCCUGGACGAGCCCUCCCCACCUCUCGGGUCCGGACGCCGCAACCCAGUCUCACCGCAACUCGCGAGCGAAGCACCGCGACGGAGCCAGUGGGCAGCGCCGCCUCCCCGUCCACUCCACCACGCCGCCUCUCCGACCAAGCGCCGCCUCUCCUCCGCGUCCUUGUCUCCGUCCCCGUCCAGGCGUUGCUGCCCCUUCACGUCCCCAUCCCUAUCCAGGAGCCGUCGCCGUCGCCGUCCCCGUUGCCUCCUCGUUUGCCUCCUCUGCAAUCCGAAUCUACAACAACACCACCUCGGCUGCCUCCUUUGCAAUCCGGAUCCACCACGGCACCUCCACCUUCUUGGAUUUGUGAGUUCUCCCCUUUCCUCAUCUCAGACUCAGAUUGUCUAGGGUUUGUCCAUGGUGCCUCCACGAUAUUGUUGUAGAUCUGGAUUGCAGAGGAGGCAAACGAGGAGGCAUCGGGGAUGGUGGCGGCUGCUGCUCCUGGAUAGGGAUGGGGACGUGAAGGGGCAGCAACGCCUGGACGGGGACAGGAUGAGGACGCAGAGGAGAGGCGGUGUGGUGGAGUGGACGGGGAGGCGGUGCUGCUCGCUGGCUCCGUCGCAUUGCUUCGCUCGCGAGUCGCAAGUUGCGGCGAGACCGGGUUGUAGCGUUCGGACCUGAGAGGUGGGGAGGGCUUGCCCGGGGAAAGCUGCGGAUAGGGUGCGACGGAGCCGUGGUCGUGGGCUCCCAAAUGACGGGGAGAUUUGGCCCAAGAUCGAAACCCGCAUGAAGGGCCUAUCUGGGGAAAAUACAGGGAUCCCUGCGGGAUUUUGGGUUCCCAAAGGAGCUGUCGCAGGGAACGAGGUACGUUCCCUGAACCGGGAACUUUCAUCCCAAACGAAACGAAAGUUAUGGUUUGCAGAGGGUAUGUCGUCCCCCUCGCCUCAUUAGUCGUGGUGCUCCUGAUCCUUGCACUCGUAUAAGAUAAGUUAUAUUUGAUUGAAUAUGUAUGUAAAUGACAAUUCAAUAGUAUAUUUAUUUCUUUUAUUCUUCUUUUCUUAUUUUUUCUCUAUUUUUUAACCUAUGUGAAGCUCGAUAGUAUGUCGUCUUGAAAAAAUAACAGGUUCACGUUCAUAAGUAUUGAACCAUCGUCCUAAAGAAGUAUACCUUCUUUGCUGGAAAUUUGAAUGUGUCGAUUCACGUUACGUGUACCCGUUUCGCGAUCCAAUCGUACCGCGCGAGAAUGCGGUGACACUCAUCCUUAUCCUUCCUCCUCGUCACCUUGCGGCAGCUCGAGUUGGCUGCGUGGACAACAUGGGACGAGGAGGCACGCUGUCCUGUCAGCACCAAAUCGAUUAUGCCGAGGAAACAAUCAAGCGACCUGACGCGACUAAAGCUGGGGCGCAGCAUAUUUGGCGCAUGCUCCGAGAGAAUGAGACGUCUACCAAUGUUGUUGUUGGGUUGCAUGUUUCUUUCUUUCUUUUUUAAACGAAGGUUGCAUGUUCCUUGAUUCGGGCCUGCUAGACCGGUUCUUACCUAAUUGGCCCAUGGACGAGGUAUGGCCCAUGUUUUAUAUGUUCUGACACUUAAUUUUUUUUUCAGCCAUCUAGUUAGUUCAAGAUCUGUGUAUGGUUCGGAUUAAACGUGAGCUAUCAAAAUUCAUGAAUUGGCGAGCCUUCUAAAACUCUCGGGGUGUUCUUUAGAUUUCUUUGAGUUAACUUUAAAUAAAGUUUUCCGAAGAAAAGUCACGCACACGAGAGGAAAGAGAAAAGUAAGGAAAAAUUGUUUUAUAUGCCCAAUGGGCUGACCGAUUGUCAGGUCAUAGAGAGAGGGAGGGAGUCGGUUAAGGUUAACCGGCUUGUCCAAAAAUUAAAGAACCGGCCCACCACGACCCUGAGUUGUAAGUUUGCAAGGUCUCCUUGAAGCGCGUAAUUCGUAUGGAACUCAGCGUUUGAAUUCGAACUCCGCCUUGUUUGUAAUCGUAUUUCCUGUAUAAUAAUACUCCUGGAGCCCCUAUGUGUUUAUGCACGUAACUAGUUUCCGUUCUGGACGUCGCCGGUGCAAGUAGGCGAAGAAGAAGGCACACCAUGUCGUCGUGUUGGUCCUCGGUGCUGGCCGUCCUCUGCGGCCGCGCAGGCGCAGCGGAGCCGGACGGCGUGAAGAAGGGGGAAGAGGAGAGCAAGGCGGCGAUGCUGCACCGCCGGCUGCUCGACGGCUGGGCGGCCGCGGCGGCGGCGGAGGAGGAGGUCAAGAAGCUGACGGCAGAGGUGCGGGCACUGGAGCUCGCGCUGGCGGAGGCGGGCGGCGCGCGGGAGGCGGCGGAGGCGAAGCGGCGGGAGGCGGAGGCGCGCGCCGAGGCGGCGGAGGCCGAGCUACGGGCGGCGGCGGAGCUGCACGAGGCGCAGGUGGAGAAGCUCCGGCGCGCGCUGGACGCACAGGAGGACAGGGACGCGCGCAUCAGGGAGCUCGAGGAGCGGAUACGGGAGCUCAACAACGCCCACAGCAAGUGGCGCUUCUUCUAGUCCUAUACUUCUAUAUCGUCCCCGGUUGAUUAGUCUUCUUUUGUUGUGUUGCCCUGCGCUGUGAUCUAGGAGUACUCAAGAGAAGAUUCUGUUUUUUUACUGAACAAGAAGGGAGGGAAAUAAAGAAGUUAUUACUCCGUUCUAAAUUAUAGUACUAGUUUUUGAUGCACCUAGAUGAACCUAUAAAAUCUAAAAUGACGUACAAUUUAAAACGGGAAGAGUACAUGUUACGCAACACUAUAUCGUCGUUAACUUGCUAGUAUCGAAAAAAGCACGAACUUGUGUUUCUGAAAUUGCUAGCAUGUGUGUGCAUGACGACGUUUCUUGUUAAUUGUUUCAUGCCAGAAGCCUAGACAGAUUUAUCUUUUAAUAUAAAAGACGAACUUAAAAUGCGACGAGUCACGCAGUUAUCGAUCUUCCACUCGCUUUUUUCUGAUCUGCAGUACUUUGAAUAUAAAAGGCUACUGAAGCUCUCGUUAGAUUUCUUAAGCUUUUGCCUCGCGAUAGUACUAAACACUUGAUAAAUUUCGAUCGGAUUCGUAUAUAAGCUGAAGGCGCAUGGACAGCAGUAGCAUCGAAGCGCAACCAGUUAAACCAGGAUUACUUCUAUAAGGCCACUGCAAAUAACUGGCAUCAGAAGCUCAGUUUACAGCUUGGAAACAAAAUACACAUCCGCAAAUUGCAAUUAAGCAUAUGCAGUGCUAACCACUUGCUAGCUAUAUGUUACUACAAAUAAACCAGUACCUUUAAACCAAAGGUACACACUUGUACCAUUAUAAGCAAUUUACUGCCUUGUCCUCCCCACUUUGCUGCUGUGAAGUACUACUGCCGGCGGGAACUGAUUCCACAUCCAGUUACUGAACUCUACUAUGUGGUAUUAUGACCGAAGAGAACACCAUCUAACUCUAGUGUUCAUUGAUCCAGUACCAUCUUCAUAACAAGAUCAUUCCACGCAUCAAUAGGUCCCGGUACACACCAGUGCAAGCAAUCAUUCUGAAUGGAUGCAGCGUCCUUGCUGUCCUUUGCAAACGGAUAGGGUGUUCGGUAAGGCCCAACGUGGCCGUCUGGUCUCAAGAAUGAGAGGCUGUAAGUAUCCAUGAGCUCCAGUCUCUCCACAUCUACAGAACCCCUCAAUGCAGCUGCAGCCUUGUUAAACUCUUCAAGUUCAAUUGCCCUCAUGACGCGUUCGUUGUACCCCUCCCGGUACUCUCCCUUCUUGAAGGGUGUCACCCUAUUACAAGAUCCUCCAUUGAACCACUCACCAUUCUCGAAGUGAUCAGGCGACCAGGUCCUGAAGAAUAUAACUGGCUUGUGUUUUGCUGAGGUGAUGAAGCUGAAAACCUUUUGGAGAGUUUUACGAUACAGGUGCUCAAAGCCAAGUUCAACCAGGUUCUUGUUUUGACAAUAAUGACAGCCCACCACUGCACCCUUCUCCCAGUAGACUGCUGUCCUAAGAAACCAUUGUCCGCCGGAAAUAAUAACAUAGUCAAAACUCUCAUACUGACUCGUCCAGCUAGCAUCAAGUAUGUCAAGGUGGAGCUGGAUUUCAGAGGUAGAUUCGCCAUUCUCAUUCUCAAAAACAUCAGAUCUGAUGAGGAAAGGAGCCCAAACAAUCGACACUGUGAAGUUGUAGGAUUGGAAGUGCCAUCUCCUGUUCUUGAAUUCCUUAUCAUGGUAAACCAUGACAGGUUCUUCAGCCUAAACAAACAGCAAGCAGAUCUCCUCAGGAUAAUAUAUCACUACAAGUGAAAAGGAAAAAGAAAAGGAAAAACUAAAGCAAUCCCACAAGUUUUCCUGAGAGCAAGCAGACCACCAAUAUUAUAUUAUAUUAUAUCAGGAAAGGGAAUAAAAUAGCGAAAACCAAAGCAGGAGUGAAUAUUUCCAAUUUUGGCACCAUCGGAAAAGAAGCAUAUGACUAGCAGUGCAUAUAGUCUUGUAUAAAAGUACCUGCUAUCAAGUUAAACAUCAUAUCUAACAUUUCAGAGUGCAGCUACAAAGGAAAGAAGAGUAAAGUUUCAUUUUUGUGAAAAUUCCCAUCACAUUCAAACAUAGAUGUACGGAAUAUGUAUAGACAACAUGAUGGUCAAUGGACGGUAGGGUACUGCAUGACAUGAGAAAGUAAAGUUGGUAGCAUUUACCUUAGACAGAAGGCAGAGCAAUGACUGAACUUGGUUGCGAAGAAUGGAGUCACCAAUUAGUCCCCAAGCUUUGUUUCUCAUAGAAUCUAGAAAUCUGACUGCAUCAAAUGGUGGAAGAUCACAUCCAUAAGGUUUCCACUUCCAAUGUAGAUAUCCCUUGUCAGGUCUACCAUUCAUCAUACAGUUCUGGUGACUGUCAAUAAACCGACAGCUUGCAUUUGUAUAGGCUGGGCCAGAUGGGUUCGGUAUCCAUUCCCCACUGAAAAGAUUACAUUUUCCUAUACAAGCAACACCUCAUAUCAGAUACUAGAAACAAGAACAACAAUGAAUAUAACAUUUUUAGUUUACUCAUAUUUUUUCUCCUUUCAUGGUCCUAAAAUUUAGACCAACAACCCUCUAUGGAUAUCUAGAUCUUGUAUAAAAUUAAUCAUUGUAUGGGAACAAAAAUAACCGACAAAUUGACUCAUCUCAAAUUACUUUCACAUAAUGAUAACUUUAUUAGGACUUCAAAAACUACAUGCCAAAAUUAGAUUUCAGAACCAUUUCAAUCUACAAAAUGGAUUAGGGUGUUGAAAAGUGCCACCAAUGCAGAGUUGCAGAACACCUCAAAGAGGUGGACGCCUGAUGGACAGUAUUUGGCAAAGAAAACAUAGGUAUAGAACAGCACAAAAUGAUCAACUAAAGCUGGCAUCAAUCAAAUCUGGAAGAUAAAAAAAUGAAUAAAUGUGUUUUUUUGGCAUGCUUAUUACAGCAUGAUAGAAUUCUAAUGGCAGACAACUUAACCAUAUGAGGCUGUCACAUUUUGAACUCCAUAUGACUAUGCCCAUAAAAAAGGAGUGGUCAGCUAAAAAAACAUUAGUAAUACUAACUUUUCAUUAAAAUCUUGGCAAAAGAUUAAAACGCACUGCUUCCUUCUGUUUCUUCUCCGAUACAAUUACAAAAGAUAGAGCUAAAAUAUACCUAUUUGAACACUAAUCACUUGUCUGGGAAUCAAUUGGAAUAUAGGAAUGCAUAGGUGGGGCAAAACAAAUAUAGCUCCUAGUUCUCGAACAGCUCAGCCUUUGGUGGUUUUCCCACCAAAAGCGUCUGAAAUCAAGCUCUUGAACAGUUAGCAAACUCCGAGAUCUCCACUAAAUCCUAGUAUUUCAUUAUUUUUCCAUUUCCUAUUCAUCAGAGAGAAUAUAUUCAGAUUACAGCAGGGAAGAAAAUAAAAGUACCCAAACAGCAGUCUAAAAGCUCCAAUCUUUCGACGAAAUGGGAUCAAGCCACAAUUAACUCUUAAUUUAAUAAAUUAAUCCCCGAUAAAGGCCCAAUUUCUUUUCUUAGCAAGUUCAGGAUAUUGCUACGUUCUAGCAUUGAGGCCCAAGAAAAUCGCCACCAUUACCAUCAAGAUUCACUGAUUCAGAGAUACAGGAACCAAGUCCCCGAAUCUCGCAAUCACAGAACCCCCGCCCGAAGGUGUUAAACCCUAAGAUUCCACAUCAGGGUAACAGCUAACAACCCUUAAAAACAGCAGAGAGAGAUUAAAUCCCGCACCUUUGCUGACCUGCAGCGCCGGCGCCGGCGAGGGCGGGAAGGAGCAGAGCACCCGGAACAAGAGGCCGGCGAGGAGCAGGAACCCGACGGCCUUCACGGCCAAUGGCCUUCCCAGCGCCCACCAUUUCCCCGCGCCGCGGCCCCACGGCGACGGCGGCGACGCCGACCACCACAUCGGGCUCGAACCCAUGCUCCAGCGCGGAGCGGACUGCAGAGCAGAGGAGCUUGAGAGGGAGACAGGAAAGGCGAGUCACGAGUGUGAGUGUGACCGACAGCGUCCGAGCUUUAGGGGAGAGACGGCGACGUGUCUGCUGGAUGAUGUCGGCGUGGCGUUGCGGAGUCGGCGACGAUGCGUGGUGGUUGAUCCGUUUGACUGGUGUAGUCGGUGCGCCACUGCGAAACGUAAAGUAGCAGUGAGAGGAUCUAUUUGGGAAUGCUGUAACUUUUUUUGUUAAAUUUCGGGUAGUGUACUAGUGUGUACUGGGUAGGAGGACGGCUGUAUACGGUUGACUGGAGAUACAUUGGAUCUAGCUAAACUGCUGAAGUACAAAAAUAUUGUUAUACGUACUCGUGGGAGGGAUUCUUGUGAUCACAUCAGAUAGAGCUCGAGGAUGGGCUCGUGCUCGUAGGCUAAACCAGUCCUCUUUAGCUUAUUUUUCAAAGUGGACAAUUUAAGCAUAGAGUUAGAAGUUAUUUUAUAUUAUUUUAUAAUAUUAGGUGGGUCUUUCUUAGAGACAUGAUCCUCCCUCCUAGAUUAUAGAUCGUUUUAGCUUUUCUAAAUUCAUAGCUUUGUUAUACACUUAGAUAUACCCUAUGUCUAGAUGCAUAAUAAUAUCUAUGCAUUUAGAAAAGCCAAAACGACCUAUAGUUUGGGACGGAGGAAGCAUUAGCCAUAACAAAUAAAAACAUACUCAAGUUAAUGAUCUAUAUUUUUUAUUUUAAUUUUUUUUAGAAUUUAUCUUUUUUCUUCUACCGUAUCUCAUGAGGUUAACGUGGAGUGGUAGAAAGAUGGGAAAUACCACACGCAGAUGAGGUUGGGUGACCUUGACACGACUUGGAUUAAAAGUCAUGUACAACAACUAUGCAUCUUUAACACCUGCUCGUAAUCACAGUUGAUGCAAAAACUAAGUCUAAAGUUACUGAACAACUACAUAGCCAAGCUUUUAAAUUAUGAUGUCCGCGAACUCGCAAAUUGUCCCAAAGUGUCCUCGUGCAUGCAAUCAAUCUCGAUAUGCUUUCAUACGAUGGUAGUGAAUAGUUGUUGUCGUAUAGAUAGCACUGGCAACGGACAAAACUUUGUGAAGGCAAUUGGGUGGUGGAGCUCUUGAAGAAGUUGUUGCAGCAGCACCACUCAGCAACAUCGCAAUAACAUGGGUAACAACGGAGAACUCCGGCUUUACACUAGAACGUAAGACUACGGUAAAUAUAGUAUAGCCAGAGGUGAAGUGCAUGUGUCACCCCCUCCCCGGCCCAUGGCUGGCUGUAGCAAUCGACCCCAAGCUGGACUAGGGCGGCCUUAAUAGCGGCACUGAAUAAGAUGUAGCUCCAGUCCAACUCUAGGUCCUCGAUACUGGUGCUACCUGGUACACGGAUGGUAUACUCCUCUAUAAUAUCAUGAAAAGAGAUAGAGAGAUGGAAAAACACCGCACAUUCAUAAAAUUAAGCAACCUUUCGUAUAUACAACCGGACAUGGUUUGGAUUAUAAUUAGAUCAUGGACAAUAACUAUAUUAGAGUUAAAAAACUUCCAAUUAUCCACGAAAUAAAUUGAGAUGCAACUUGCAUGCGGACGCGAUUAGAGCGAGGUAAACUAAUCUCUCUCCCCAUGAACUUACACGAUAAAAAAAUCAGCACAAAAUCCAAUAAAUCCUCUCCAAGCAAGACCUCUCGCAUACGCUACAGCCCGCACAGAGGUGGACCUAGCCAAGAGCUUAAGGGGGUCUGAAGUAUUCUUCUUCCUCUUCCCCCACCUCCUCCUCUCUCUUCAUCUUCAUCUCCUUGCUUCCCAUGCUCCAAUGGAAGCUCCAGCCAGUAGCGGGGGGCUGUGGCCCCAGCCCGCCUCCUGGAUCCACCACUGAGCCUACAGACUACAGCCGCUUGGAGAAGAAUAUAUAGGUCUUGAUGCAUCUUUGCCUCACUUUUAUGAAUGAUUCUUCUCUAUCUGAAUGUACUUAUACUAGUAUACUCCUACAAUUGUACAAAUACCUUACUCUCCCUGAUCUGAAUGUACUAAUACUAGCAUACUCCUACAAUUGUACAAAUACCCUACUCUCCAUCACCACAGAGCUGGUGCAAUUUGGACUUCGCAUUGAACCUAGUCGUGUGGGGGUUUGAAAGAUGUCUUAUAGUGGCACAAAGGGAUCGUGUACAACGAACCUGGACACCCCUCUUCAACUUUAGCAUUUGGGUAGUUUUUGAACUUUUUGGGAUUUGGGAAUAUGAGUCAUCGAUUCUCUGGUGUAUUCUCUUCUGAGCUUUCUUUUCUUUUUCUUUUUUGCCUUUAAACACAAUACUUUCUCUUUUUUUCUAAACACAAUACUAAAGCAUACACAUACAUACAUGUACCUACGGCCAUUUUUAUAGGCGUACGCACACACCGCUUCUAAAUAACUUUCGAGUGACUGAACCGGCAGAUGGUGCUUACCAAGAAAAGAUGAAAAAAAGGGAGAUUAUCUCGGCUCGUUUAGCUUCUCCGGGUUAAUCAAACAUCAGUAGCACAUCUCAUGCAACUAUAGGGCAGCUGUAACAAAUAAAGCUGUAACAAAUAAAUUUCCUAUCUGCCUCUAUAACUGAAUUUGCAGAGAUAAACAACGCGUCAGAGCACUAUUUUUUUUGGAAGGAAAGCAUCAGAGCAGUACCAGGUACAUAUUGUACCUCACAAGCAACAAUGCAUUUAUCAGGUACAUCUGAAUGACUGAAACCAAACAUUCACUCAAGGUAAUCUCACACGGUAUGCAGCUAGCUGCGCCUAGCUUUACCAUCCACUUCACAUACAUGUUUCUACCCUAUACCGUGCUAGGCAUAAGCUUUUUGAUCCGGCCAUCGGACGAUCAGUGUGAUUAACACAAGUUGAAUGAACAAGAAAGAAAUGUUGCGUGGCAGAAAUCGAGCGAUGACGACACAAUCACACAACACAGCCAGGGCUCUGAUGGAGAAGGGAAUUUGCAGGCUCGGCGCUUUUGGCCCAUGCGGCUUUCUGCGAUUCGGAGCUCUCACACACAGAUCGACCAGAGAGGCCUCACGAUAUUCCCUUCGCACGCUCCAGCUUCUAGUUAACCUAGACCGCAUCACGGCCAGGUGCAUUGCCAACUCCAUCCACGCGCUAAAGUCCACGUACAGGCGGUAUCGAGCAGCCUGCUCUUCACUAGCAGCCUGCUCUUCACUCGCUUCAGUCUAGCUAGACUUAUAAAUAGCAGCAAGAAGCUCUGAGCUCAUCAUCACGGUUCAAGGAUUAAACAAGUAAGUGGUUCAAGGGAAAUGGAGUGAGUAAGAGUCCUAAUUGGUUGGUUGUCACCUGGAGUUCUCCUCAAACUACUUCACUUGCAGGAGCUACACCUAGCUCGUUUCAUGGCAUACUACUGUUUGCAUUUUUGUGUGCAUGGGGCCAGAGCUGUGCACACACAUGGUGAAGUGUUUGGAGGAACUCUGGGUGGCAAGCAGCAACUUUUGUUAGGUGAGAAAGUACAGCAUUUACUUUGGAGAUAUUACUAAACCAGCAUCUGAUAUUAGAUUAUUGUGGGAAAGAAUUUGGUUUGGUGUCACCCUAGGAGUUCUCUACAAGCACUUCACAAGGCACUGUUUUGGGAGCUUUUGUGAAGUGUUUGAGGGAACUCUCGGUGUCACUGAGCAUUUACUUAGAUCUUGAUCAUGUGCAUGCGAGAUGAGUAAACAAUGAACCACGUUUGGUGUUAUUACCAGGAGUUCCCUACAAGCACUUCAUGAGGCCUUAGCUUAUUAAGGGAUCUUGUGAAGUGUUUGGGGGAACUCUCGGUGUCACCAAGCACCGAGCAAGAAUAAUGUAUUGGAGUCACGUGAAUACCAUAUCAGAUGCAACAGGGAACAAUGUUUGGUGUUACCAUGAGUUCCCUUCAAACACUUCACAUGCUGAGGCACCAUUCAGAUUACUCCUUAAGAGUUUCAUGUGCAAUGUGAAGUGUUUGGGGGAACUCUUGGUGGUACUCAACAUGCAAAUAAGUCUAAGAACAGUGAUUCCCAACACUCAUGUGAGUUUUCAAAUCCCUACUCUUGCAUCAUAUACGGUUGCAUGCAUGCACAUACAUGUAUGUCUACUCUAAUUUAUCUCUAUUUUGACAUUUACUAAAUGUGCCACUAGCUAGUGUUGUUAGAGCCUGCAUUUAGUUGCAUUAGUCACUCAUGUUAAGUCAAUACCUAUAUAUAUAAAGCUCUAGUUACUUUCUAUUCAUGCAGGCAAAAGCGGUUUUAGUUUAGGAAAUCAGGGGUUAAUACAUGGUUUUAUACUUUAGGGGUUAUCUAGACUUGGAUUGGAGGGAGUAAUUUGGAUUUUUUUUCCCCUUGUAAUUAUUUGUCACUGCUUCAGUUUGUUUGCAUCCCUACAUCCACCCAUGAAGUUAGCUCAAAUUGAAUGAGUUCGACUCAGUGACACAACAAAAGCCAAACCUUUCUUUUUUGAAAGAUAGAAAAAGCAAAACUUGCAUCCCAGUUACUGCUUACUAGGGCAUGCAAGUAGCCGAGUGAUUACUAAACUUGCGUAGGUUCCUUUUUUUUAUUUGUACUGUACUAGCAUGCUGCCAUAUGCUAGGACUAGGAAUGACUAUUGUGCAACCGAAAAUGCUUGAACACAAAUUAAAUGUCCGAUGCAAACAGAACUUCGAACGCUCAGGCGUCAGCCCACGGAUCGGAACGACAUCAGGCGUCAGCCCACGGAUCGGAACGACAUCAGGCGGCUGGCAAUUUAGCUGUGAGUUCACGAAUAACCCAUCGUCGUGCAUCUUCUCUCCUGCUGCUCUCUCUUCUUCCCCAAAAAUGUUUUCCCGUGCUCUGCUUUAUUUCCAGGCCCCGAGCAUGUGCUCCUGCUCUCCGAUGACCUUUCUCCAUCAAGCGCUCUCUCUAGCUCUGCACUGUCGAUUUGCAAGCGGAGGUAAAUAGGGUGGCGAAGCCAUCGCACGCUCGGUGGAGUACCAGAACGAUGAAAAAGAGCACCGAGAGGCAGAGACGAUGACCGCAUGAGCUUGAAAGCCACGACAAAAGUGGUGCCAACUGAAGCUCAGAAGCCAUGGUGUCGGAGUGGACUGGGAAUGGCGUUGCUCACUUGGUGGAGCACGAGCACCUCUUCUCAGAGCUCUGGCCUAGUCGAUGCAUCUGCUCUUCUGGUCCUGCUGCUGGCCAAGCAUUGCUCUCCAAGGAAGAUCGAUCCUGUUAAGUUGCUAGCGUGGGGGUAUAUAUGCUUCAUUAUUUUUCCCCGAAUUUUGCUGCAAUGGGACAUUUGAGAUGAUGAGAUUAUAUUGUAUUAUGUCAUCAGUGUUGUAAUAACCAACGGUAGUUGCAACAUUUUGAUUUGAUGCGUGAAACAUUCAACAACAUAUGCAACAUUAGGAUUUUUCAUGAUCUUCAUUAUUCAGAUAGUUCACUUGGUCUGUUCCAUGUUGUGUUUUGGUGUGGUGCCAUCUCUCUCUCUAUAUAUUUAUAUAUUGCAAUAGCAUGCUUUUUUUGUUGCGAGCAGAGGCAAACCUGACAACCAGAGGGCUCUCUCCUCACGUUUUGUGUGUGUUGUGGCGAGGGGGAGGGGGCGCAAGCCCCCAUGGUGGAUCCGCCCUGGUAGUGUGUUUUAUUUUUUCUAAUCAUUUAGUGAUGCACAUGGAUGAUAGCUAAUGAUUUUGUUGGGCUAUUGGUGACAUAACUCUUCCAAUUAAAUUAGCAUGGAAGUGUCCUAGCUAAUAGCAAAUAUCCAAUCUGAUAGAAGCAUAAAGUAUAAAGUAUAGGACGAACACUCGAUCUUUUUUUUUAUUUUUUGUGAAAGAGUGAAAGACACAGAGUCUCAUAUCCUAUAUUUAUCAAGAAAUACAAUAACUAGUAAAAAGAAUACAUUUUGACACAAAUUUUAGUUGCUUGGUGCAGCAGGAGCUUGUCUCCAACCAUCUUUAAAAACAAACUAAAAGGAAAUACUGCAGCAGAAGAGGAUUUACCAGGAGGCAAGAGUCCAAGAUCCCUCCCAUAUAGGGAAGUAUUUUAGGACUAUUUAUUUGAGCUUCCUAGAACCUUCUCAGCAUGAAAAAUUAGAAAUUCAAACAAACAUUGAACUUCUCAUGCAGCUUUCGGAAAGUUGGAAGUCUAAAAAAACUAAAUUUAUAUAAAAAGCUAGAAAGCUCAGUUUUAUGAGCUUUUUGAGCUUUCGGAGCUCAAGAAGUAAAUACAUCGUCUAAAAACUCUAACAAUAGUUUUAAAAAAACCCUCAAAAGCUGCCACUCAGACCCUGCUGCAGCAUUGGACAUGUUUUGUCAUCAUCGAUAUUGUAGGCCCAAAUGGCAACCAUUUCAAAUAAAUCUUAGAUACAGCCCAAGACAGGGAGCUUGGUAAUUUCGCACGCAAUAGGCUAGUAUUUGGGCUUGACUUUUAGCUGGAACUAAAUUAGGCCCAUGUUUGACUUAGGCUUGGGCUGAGUUGAGUUCCUUGCUAAACUUAUGGAAACGUUAUCUUUUUUUUUUCUUGUUAGCUUAUAAUAAAUCACUUCUUAUUUGUAAGACCUAACCAGAUAUUCUACAAAAAUGCGUGCGGUGCGUAUAAUGCAUAUCUUUAUAUGUCCAAAGUAUAAUUUUUUUUAACUUUGGAAGCAUGCGGUGCGUAGUGUGCUAUCGCAAUAUUCAGAGUUGGCGGUGAGCAGGGUUAGAGUUAAGGAGAGGAUUUACCAAGGCCCCUCAAAUGUAAGCAGAACUGCUACCGAUGGAAUUUCAGGAAUCCAAGUUUCAUGUAAUUUACUUGUGUUAGAAAAAGUAUUUGUUUUAAAAUAUAAUAAUAUCUAUCAAUCUGACCUCAGGAUCACAAUAUUUUUCAUCUUGUAGCACAAUAUACGAAACAAUACCAUGAAAACCAAGGAACACGAGUUAGGAAGAAUAUUCAGAUAGAAAAUACCAUUUCACUUGACAAAAUGUACUUUCUGAAGUAGAAUAUCCCAGUCCACGAAUCCAUAUCUGGAAAAGAAAAAAGGAGAGGGGAAAAGCACCCUCGCUCGCAUGGGCCUCCUGGUCCAGCUCCCCAACCUCGCCGGCGUCCGGCGCCCGGCCGCCGCCGCCGCCUUCCCCCAGAGCUGCCGCGGCGGUCGCCUCACGGUAUCCGCCGCGGCGCCCGGCGGCCGCGUAAAGGAGGAAGAGGCCAAGGGGGCGGGGAAGAAGGAGAAGAUUGUGAUUAGAGUCUCCGACCCGGUGCGGGAGAGGAGGCUCCCGCCGCCGCUGUUCUCCGCACCGGACGAGCCGUCGGAGCGCCCACCGGGUCCGAAGGAGGGAGGGGGACGGGGUGACCAGGACGGCGAGGAGGCUAAGAAGCAGUACUACGUGAACAUGGGGGACGCCAUCCGCACGCUGCGGGAGGAGCUCCCCGUCGUGUUCUACCGGGAACCCAGCUUCGACAUCUACAGGUUUGCGCGAUUUCGCCCCCCUCGUCUUUUCCGUUAUCUCAAGCUGCUUCCAGAGACAAUUGCAGUGAAUUGUUGUCAAUGGUCGAUCCAUUUCUUGUUUGUAUGUUCCAUUGAGUGCCGGAAAGGUGUGGUAAAAUGGUUUUUUCCCCUUUAGUACCAUCUGCUUCGCCUAGACGAAUUAGGGAAGAAAUGGUGAAGAUUUGUUGUUUGUCGAGAUGCUCAUAGGUCGAAUUGAUAAGAAGGGUUGUGAAUAUUUGCAGGCUAUGUAUAACCAGCCAUAGAUUAAAUUUACCUGCCCUUUGGUAUCCGCUGGCUGCUGCUGGCAAAUAUAGGCUUGGUGUUUGUCCUGGUUGAGGUAAGAUGAGCAUAAUGUCUCUUAAAGAUGCAUGGUGGUUUUUACUUCGAUUAAAUUGGCCCACUUUGAUUAUCCAUUAGUCUUGCCUGCUUUGGUUGUAGACUAGAAAGUACUGUGAGCAUGGGUAUUUUUCCAAUUCCAGUCAAUUGCCUCCAUGAACUGCUAGAAUAUAGAGCAUAGGCUUUGUCAUAUGAGUGAGAUAUCUGAAUGUGUUAAGCAUCUAACGACCACAUAAUUUCCAACUUAUUGCACCCAAUAAGAAGGUUAUACAUUGGCAGUGGGAUUCAAUGGUAGUCUCUACUUCAUAUAUAGUUAAUCUGAGAAUUAAAAAAUGUAACGUGUAGGGUAUAAAUAUGAAGUCAUUUCCAAUCAAGCAGUCUGUUUGAAAAUCAGGAAUUUGUAGAGGUUGUAAUCUUCUAUAAGACACGAGGUGUCAUCAGAAAUUAAUACACACCCUUUCACUUGAAAAGAAACUAAUAUGUUGACCUAUGAACUGAAACCCCUUAUAAAGAAUGACAUCAUUCACUCAGUAAUGUUUUUUUUCCUCGAAUACACAGGAGCUGUGUAUCAUUUCAUUAAAGAAGAUAACAUUCACUCAAUAAUUAAGUAGCACCAAUAGAAAUUUGAUAUAAAAUUGUUAUGGAUGACAUAUGGUGCUGAGCCUUGCGGAUGGCAUGGUGCUGAGGCCGGCGGAUGGCAUGGUGCCGAGGCCUGAGGCAGACAGCUAACCCGACAUUGUGGCGCGGCAUUGGGAGAACGGUGGCUCUAGGGAAGAGCAGAAGCGAGAUCGAUUCGGAACGAUCAAUCUGAUACCAUGAAAAUGAGAACAGAAAGAGAGAGUUUGGGAAAAGCACACUGCACAAUCUGUGUGGGCCUUACCUUUCAUUAUAUAGCCAUAUACGGCUACAACAAAAAAGAUAGAGAUACCAAUAUACAAGGAAGGAGAUUAGGCCAGGAAACCAACUAACAGGCUAGGCGUGUCUCCUGUACAACUAAACAUGUGCAUGUUAACAAAUAGAAUAAGACACAUUGAAAUUGGAUGAACAUAAUCUUUCUUUCAAUACUGUUUUUCCUUUCUUCAAUAUAAUUGUAGUUUAAUUAAUUGGAACACGGAAGAUUGAAAAGUAAUAACCCACAUAACCAAAUGAAGGGCAUGUCAUCCAGAUUGGAAGGAUAUAAAAGUUGAUGCUAACUUUUUGCAUCCACAUUUUCUAGUAUUUGGUCUGUACGAAACUAUUUGUUCGUUAGUCAAGUUGAGUUCAGUAUUUUCGUCAGCCAACGAUUAGUUCGACUCUUCAGUUGGCCUGGGUGUGUGGUGUUGGGUUUGCUGUUUUUAGACUUUGCUCUCACUCCUCAUACAAAGGCAGAUCUCCUGUUGGUUCAUGAAAAAAAGGGCAUCCAAAGCCGAACUUUUCCCUUGGGUCUGAACUCUGAACCCAUCAGGUUUGCUGGAGAGCCUUGUCAUAAUCACUUCCUAAUUUUACCUAGAAAAGUAUUAUUGCACACCCUGUCCAUUCUUCUGCAACAAGGAAGUAGAGCAAAAUGACAAGAAACAGAGCAGCUGGAACAGAGAGGAAAAGGAGGGAGAGAGGGGUGUGCUGGCAAAGAAGAAUGAUAAUUCAGACAUGGGCAAAGCCAGAGAGAUAGAUGGAUAGAUCACUUUGUUUACUUACAUUGCAUACUUAAUUUCCUAACAGUCGAAUCUACACAAACCAACUACCAAAGAUAUUAAGACCCUGAAUCUAAAAUGUCUCAAAUUCUCAAGGUAACUUCCUAUCAAACUAUCAGAAUAAACUUAUACUAUAUUAUCUGGUGUGCUGCUGCUGGGGCCCACAUGCACAAGGAUGCUCUUAUUAUUCCUUAGUCCUAUAACAUUGCUAUGAGUUACUUAUUCCUGGUACUGAGAGUAUUCACUAGUAACAUUUUCUGACCGAAAACUCUGAGGAAAAUCCCCACAGUGAGAUAAUUUUUAGUCUCAUGACACUGCUAUGAGCUACUUAUCACUGGUUAUGAGAAGCUUGUUAAUGUUGUCAUAGUAUGAAAUGCAAGCUUAUGUAGUUUUGUCAACUAUGGCACACGGGAGUACCUGAAAUUGUAGAAAUUGUUGGCAACCUUUUUAUGCUCUUGACAGUAUUUUAUAAUGGUUAAUUAUGGCAUGUGCUUAUGCACCAGUGAAUACUUUUAUAUACCCUGGCAUAUAAUAUUCAUUUCUGUUGGCUUAUUGUUCAAUAAUGUUUCCGUGCUAACAUAUCUUUUACUGUCCCCAGAGAUGAUAUUGUCUUAAAAGAUCCUCUCAAUAAUUUCAAGGGCAUUGUUAAUUACAAAAGAAUAUUUUGGGCACUGCGGUUUACCGGCCAAAUUUUCUUCAAGGCGGUGUGGAUUGACAUUGUCAGCAUAUGGCAGCCUGUUGAUAAUGUAAUCAUGAUUCGAUGGAUUGUCCAUGGCAUCCCUAGAGUUCCAUGGGAGGGCAAUGGCCGCUUUGACGGCACCUCUGAGUAUAAGUUGGAUAAGAAUGGGAAGAUCUAUGAGCAUAAGGUGGACAAUAUUGCCAGGAAUUCACCAACAAAGUUCAAGAUCUUGCCUGUUGUUGAGCUCAUAAGAUCACUUGGAUGUCCAUCUACUCCGAAGCCAACAUAUUUUGAGACAUCAUGUCUAUCUUUGAUUCACUGCCGUUAUUUUGGCUGAGUUUGACUUGGAUGAGAUGUAACUGAUGCUAGAAAAUUUAGCAAACGAGCAAAGGUUAAGGUCCGACCUGAUGUCUCCAAAUUUUGCCGGUAAUGCACUUCAUCUACUUACCAAAAUGAGCAGCAGUUAAUUGUAAAAGCCAUGUAUUUGUACAGCGAUAGUCCUUAAUUUAGAAAUAGCUAUAGUAGUUCCUCUUGCCCAAGUUGCGUAAGCUAUUUUUGUCGUCUGGUGCUGAAAUUGACAGAUGUCUGGGGAACUUUUGCAUAUAUAUAUAUAUAUAUAUAUAUAUAUAUAUAUAUAUAUAUAUAUAUAUAUAUCUUCUUGUGUUGCACGAAGGUGCAUCGUUAGUUCAUUGUACAGGCGCAGCGCUUCGCUAAAACAUGAAUUCCCUGUACAUGUCGAAUGCUGUGAGCUAUGAGAUCAAGUAUGUAUUCCUCUCUAGAUUAAGUUGAUGUUGCUUUGAGCUGUAGAUACAUUCCAGCUCAGAAGGACAAUAUAUGUAUUGUAGCUUAUUGGUGUCCUCUCGUCCUUAUUACUGAAAUAAAGAAAACAUUAAUUAUUUGCCUUGCCAUUUUCUUUAAAGCUAGUUUCCUUCUGUGUGUGUCUCUAUAAACUAUCAAUACUCCUCUUUUUCUUGCGUUUCAACUCAGGUAUAAGCACAACUUUGCUCUUGCAUGAUGCUUUUGUGAUUAGGAUCAUUUGUAAGCUACGAAGCAUGUUCUAUACAUGAAGGCAGCAAUUAUUAGCCAGUUCAGUUCCAUCAGGAACCUAACAAAAUUCUUGCAUUGUGAAAUAUUUAAGUCUGGUUAUAAAGCCCUCAGGAACAUUCUCUAUCCGAACUACAGAGGCAAAGACUACAGAUAUGUAACAUUACUUCAGGAAACCUGUUUCUAGUGAAUUUUGUAAGAAACAUUAAAUCAAAAUAAUUAGUGGUGAAAAUGGCAUGUACCUUAAUAAUAAAUCAAAUUGGUUUUUAGAUACAGAUACAUGUUUGAAUAUCAGGUGGGACAAAAUAAAAAUGUUCCAUUCCAUUUUUUUUAUUCAUAUGCAGAAUUGCUUCGAAGUUCAUAGGACUUCAAAUACAAAGUAUCAAAGCAAAGCAAGAACUUCAGAAGUAGCACUUUGCGUAAACAUAUGAGAUGUACAUUAUACAAAAAAAAAA
Molecule: long non-coding RNA, 60330 nt
Filed under: Setaria viridis
Lineage: Eukaryota; Viridiplantae; Streptophyta; Magnoliopsida; Poales; Poaceae
Description: long non-coding RNA (SVIR_LNC002576)
Rfam family: mir-395 microRNA precursor family (bases 52589-52698)
Source: RNAcentral